UUCUAAACCAUUAAUUCUUGAGUCCAACACAUAGACUCUCACACAAUAUCUUAUAUAUAUAUUUUUUAUGCAAAAAUAUAUAUAUAGAGUUCGGCUACUAUACUUUAUGGGUACGAUUGCUCUUAUACUCAUAAAUCGUUUUUGAUGAUAGAGUUUUCGAAUCAACAAUCUAUACCGUUAAACAUUAUUUAGAACAUUUAAAGUUUUCAGAAAUCAAAUUUCAUAAUUUUUCGACAUCAUUUACAUUACGAUCGAAAGGUCACAAAAUUGAAAAUUUUUAAUAACCAGUAUAAGAUAUUUGCUAGUUUAACGGUAUAAAAGAAUUGGAAUAGAUUGAAUUUUUGAUUGAAAAUUCUAUUCAUUAUCUAGAUAAAGAUCAAUAACUCUGAUUGUAAAUUGAAGAAUCCGAUCAUUCAUUCUUAGGAUGUCAAUCUAUUUUGACCGUUUGUUUUCUGUCCGAUUGAUAGGCUUUAUUAUGAUUUCGAAAAAUUACAAAAUUUAUUUUUUAGAAAUUUCAAAUACUCCAAAUUAUGUUUAACGAAGUGGAUUGUCAAUUCGGAAGCUCCAUCAUCGAAAAUAAUAUAUGAGUAUGAAGGGCUCUAUAUUCAUAAGAAUAUAGUAGCCCUACUCUCUCUUUCUCUCUCUCUCUCUCUCUCUCUCUCUCUAUAUAUAUAUAUAGUUGAGCUAGAAUACUCUCAAAAGGAGGUUGGUACUUUUGAGUUUUUAAUUAUUGGAUGGAGAAAUGUAAGAUUGAAAAGAUGGUGGUAGGUUGUGGUAUGUGGAAUAGUGUUUGAUUCAAGAACUAUUAGUAAUCAAGGAGUAGAUCCAAGGGCUAAAAACCUAGAAGCACCAAGAGGGUGAUACUUCUAAAAGUAUUCUAACUCAAUUAUAUAUGUAUGUAAACCUUGAAAAGUUAUUACAUGUGACCUUCAAAAUUAGGGUAAAUUACACUUUGGGUAUUUAAACUUUAAUAUAUUAUAAUUUUUAGCUUAAACUUUUUGAAUUAUUGCAAUUAUAUCUCAUUAUUUAAGUUAAUUGGUUAUAUUGAGAAAUUAUUAAUGUAUAAAUAUUAUGAUUAGUAAUAUUGUAAUAAUAAUUAAGAUGCUGCAUCACUUCUGCACCGACGAUUUGUUCAAUAUUUAAUCAACUAAAUUAGAUUAUGAGAUUUAUUUACAAUAUUUCAGAAUGUCUGGAUUAGAAAUUGUACAAACUAAAAAUUGAGGAAAUACAAAGCGUUACGCACCUCAGAGGGCGAAAUUAUGUGAAAUAAAUUGUAAAUAACAAUUAACCAAAAUAUUUUUGACGAUGUUCAUGUCAAAUUCGAUUAUGGUAUUCGACAGCGAAUAACUUUCUUACUUUUUCUUUCUUACAACAAACUAAAUAAACAGACUAAACUAGUACUUCGCACCUGCGUUUACGGUGAAACAAACAAAUUAAAAUAUGUUGUGUGGAAACAAAAAUAAAUCUUCACUAGAAUCAAAUUUGAAUGAUCCGGCCAUGGCCGGCUGCGUAAACUGCGGAGUUGCUUGAUCCAAAAAAUUGUAAUUUUCUAUCCUAACCCUAACCCUAACCCUAAAAAUCGCUAAUCGCGUAAUGUGGGGAGUGGGGACCACCCACCACCAUUACUCGCCAUUUUCUCUUGCUACUUCCACUAACACAUAAAUCAAAACUAACAGGACCUACCCAGGAUACCACCAACAAGGAAAGAUACUUAUGAAAUAAAAAACAAAAUAAAAUAAAAUAAAAUAAAAAUGUUAUGAAAGUGUCACUCAAAAUGCCUAAUUUGGAAUGGACCCUCUAAAACUUUAUUAAUUUUGUUUUAAGUUGAAUUUUAAAAAUUAAUUAAAACUUGACAAAACUGAUAAAUUUUAUCUGCAAGGGGCACCUUGAUUGGAUAUAAUUAAAAAAAAAUAGUAUAGUUGGAGAUGCAGCAGUUGGUUGGAUAUAAAAAAAGAUGAUGUGUUAGAACUAAAACCGAGAAGAUCUAGUUCGUCGGAUGCGAAAAUACCAAAAGAGAUCUGAGAAAGAGAGAAGAAAAAUAAAGCACACAAUAUUUACGUGGUUCGGCCAACGGCCUACAUCCACGGACGAAGACGGAGCGAAAAUCUUCAUUAGAAUCAAAGUGGUGUACAAAAUAUGCCUCUCUCACAAAACCCUAAUCCCAAAAAAUACACUCAUAUUCCCUCUCUUAUCUUCCGCACUAAAUCAAUAGCAAAAAGGGUAUAUUUAUAAUAGUGACUAAAUCCUAAUACGAUUAGAAAUACAAACCCACUAAGAUUAGGAAUAUCUCGAUAAAUUAGGCAUAAUCUAAACUUAACUUAAUGGGAUAAUUAAAACAGAAUAGGGUUAGAAGACCUUGCGGUACUAGAAUUCGAGACAUAUUUAACAAUCUCCACCUUGACUUGAAUUCUAUGUCUUCUCCAUCAAAAUCCCAAGAGCUCCUGAAGUGCUACUGCACAUGCGAACAAGUUUACGGAAUACUUGACCUUGAUCGCCUAAAAACUUAAUGAGCAAAUCCGCGGGAUUCUCUGAAGUGCCAAUCUUCUCAUCUCCAACUACGCCUUUUGCAACCUCUGUUGCAUCAGAACGACAACUUGUCGUAGAGCGAAACUGCUGGAGCGAUCAAACUUCUCGAUCUCAAAUUCGUCGACGUCUUAAACACCCAAACAAACACUCAGGCUCUAACACCAGUUUGUUAGGACAAAACUGAAAAGAUCUAGUUCGUCGGGUGCGAAAAUACCAAAAGAGAUCUGAGAAAAAGAGAAUAAAAAUAAAGCACACGAUAUUUACGUGCAUGGUUUGGCCGCCGACCUACGUCCAGGGGGGAAGACGGAGCGGAGAUCUUCAUUAUAAUCAAAGUGGUGUACAAAAUAUGCCUCUCUCACAAAACCCUAAUCCCAAAAAAUUCACCCAUAUUCCCUCUCUCAUCUUCCGCACUAAAUCAAUAGCAGAAAUAGUAUAUUUAUAAUAGUGGCUAAAUCUUAAUACGAUUAGGAAUACAAACCCACUAAGAUUAGGAAUAUCUCGAUAAAUUAGGCAUAAUCUAAACUUAACUUAAUGGGAUAAUUAAAACAGAAUAGGGUUAGAAGACAUUGCGGUACUAGAAUUCGAGACAUAUUUAACAAUCUCCACCUUGACUUGAAUUCUAUGUCUUCUCCAUCAAAAUCCCAAGAGCUCCUGAAGUGCUACUGCACAUGCGAACAAGUUUACGGAAUACUUGACCUUGAUCGCCUAAAAACUUAAUGAGCAAAUCCGCGGGAUUCUCUAAAGUGCCAAUCUUCUCAUCUCCAACUACGCCUUUUGCAACCUCUGUUGCAUCAGAACGACAACUUGUCGUAGAGCGAAACUGCUGGAGCGAUCAAACUUCUCGAUCUCAAAUUCGUCGACGUCUUAAACACCCAAACGAACACUCCGGCUCUGAUACCAGUUUGUUAGAACUAAAACCGAGAAGAUCUAGUUCGUCGGAUGCGAAAAUACCAAAAGAGAUCCGAGAAAGAGAGAAGAAAAAUAAAGCACACAAUAUUUACGUGGUUCGGCCAACGGCCUACGUCCACGGGCGAAGACGGAGCGGAGAUCUUCAUUAUAAUCAAAGUGGUGUACAAAAUAUGCCUCUCUCACAAAACCCUAAUCCCAAAAAAUACACCCAUAUUCCCUCUCUCAUCUUCCGCACUAAAUCAAUAGCAGAAAUGGUAUAUUUAUAAUAGUGGCUAAAUCUUAAUACGAUUAGGAAUACAAACCCACUAAGAUUAGGAAUAUCUCGAUAAAUUAGGCAUAAUCUAAACUUAACUUAAUGGGAUAAUUAAAACAGAAUAGGGUUAGAAGACCUUGCGGUACUAGAAUUCGAGACAUAUUUAACAAUCUCCACCUUGACUUGAAUUCUAUGUCUUCUCCAUCAAAAUCCCAAGAGCUCCUGAAGUGCUACUGCACAUGCGAACAAGUUUACGGAAUACUUGACCUUGAUCGCCUAAAAACUUAAUGAGCAAAUCCGCGGGAUUCUCUGAAGUGCCAAUCUUCUCAUCUCCAACUACGCCUUUUGCAACCUCUGUUGCAUCAGAACGACAACUUGUCGUAGAGCGAAACUGCUGGAGCGAUCAAACUUCUCGAUCUCAAAUUCGUCGACGUCUUAAACACCCAAACGAACAUUCCAGCACUGAUACCAUUUUGUUAGAACUAAAACCGAGAAGAUUUAAUUUGUCGGAUGCGAAAAUACCAAAAGAAAUCCGAAAAAGAGAGAAGAAAAAUAAAGCACACAAUAUUUACGUGGUUCGGCCAACGGCCUACGUCCACGGGCGAAGACGGAGCGGAAAUCUUGAUUAGAAUCAAAGUGGUGUACAAAAUAUGCCUCUCUCACAAAACCCUAAUCCCAAAAAAUACACACAUAUUUCCUCUCUCAUCUUCCGCACUAAAUCAAUAGCAGAAAUGGUAUAUUUAUAAUAGUGGCUAAAUCUUAAUACGAUUAGGAAUACAAACCCACUAAGAUUAGGAAUAUCUCGAUAAAUUAGGCAUAAUUUAAACUUAACUUAAUGGGAUAAUUGAAACAGAAUAGGGUUAGAAGAUCUUGCUGUACUAGAAUUCGAGACAUAUUUAACAUGAUGCAACUAUAAAUAAUUUGUUUGAUUGCAUAUAAUUGAAAAGUACAUUCACACAUUUUAUUACUAUAUACAUAUUUUAUAUUAUAAAAUAUGAUUAAGGAGAUAAAAGCUUAUCUUUAAUUUAUAAUAACUACUUUCUCCAACUGCUGCAACUGUUACAACAAUUAUAUUUAAAACAUCAAGUCAAUCGCUAAAUUUAAAUCUGUAUGCAAUUACAAAUACAAUAUAGUUGCAGCUACAAGCUAUCUAACUGCCCAUAAACGUAAACGAUGGAAGAAAUGUGCAACAUUUCAUCUUCUGAAAAAGUAUCUAGAAUAGUUAAACCGAAUAAUAUUAUUAUUAAAUUUAACAAAACUCUUAAUAUGAAUUUAUAACUUUUAAAGAAUCUAUUUCAAAAUAUAUAAUCCACAAUUGAGGAGUGUUUUUUUUUUUCCUUCCUUUUCUUGAUUUGUUUUUACAUAUUUAGCUUAGAAAACAAAAAAGGGAAAAAAAAAAAAAAAAAAAGGAGAAAAAAGAGGAUAGAUAUAUCAGAGGAGAUUUCGUGUUAGGAUAUCAGUGGGCAAGUUGCGCAAAGAACAAUUCUCUGUUUUUAAAGCUUUGUUGCCCCGUCCAAAUCCCCAACCGCGUUUCUUCUCCUUUGACUCACUUAUUACAACGCGCCGGCUCCAACCGCAUAUGUGACCGUUAUACCCCUCUCCCUCUCUCUCUCUCUCUCUCUCUCUCUCUCUCUAUGGUCUACACUCCCUCCUCUUCAUCACCAUUCACCACCCCCAAUAAGAGAGAGAGAGAGGGGGAAAAAAAGGAAAAAAAAAAAAUUGGAGAUUGGUUUAGAUUAACUUGUUGUAUAUAGCUAGUUCCUGGAUCGGUUCUUCGUAUGAUUCUUACAUUUGGUGCACACAGCUGAAAGUAGUGCCCUGUUGUUUUCAGUGAAACCUACAUACAUGCAUGCAUCAUCUUCGGUGACACCACGCCGAAUGGUGAAGAAGAGGAGGAUUGGGAGAGAGAGAGGAAUUCGAGUGAUCGAUCAAGCAAACAUUAGGAUAAUAGAAUAGCAAAGCAGAUCAUAUCAUAUCAUAUCAUAUCAUAUAUAUAUAUAGCAUGGGGAACACUUGCGUCGGUCCGAGCAUCGCGAAGAGCGGCUUCUUCCAGUCGGUUUCUGCCACUCUGUGGCGCGCCCGGUCGCAGACCGACGCUCUGCCCCCCGCCGCCGCCGCCGAUGUUGCCGAUCCCCCUAUCGCAGUCGCAGAAAACAAGGCUCCGGAGCCCGUCGUUAUCCAUAAAGAAGACGACGACGGCAAAGACGUAACAAAGCAGGCGAAGGCGGACGUAAAGCGACUGGGCAGCGCGGGGUUGCUGGCGGGAUCGGUGCUGAAGCGGAGGACGGAGAAUGUGAAGGACGUGUACAGCUUAGGCCGGAAGCUGGGGCAGGGGCAGUUCGGGACGACGUAUCUGUGCAUGCAGAAGGAGAAGGGGAGGGAGUACGCGUGCAAGUCGAUACUGAAGAGGAAGCUGGCGACGGAGGAGGACGUGGAGGACGUGCGGAGGGAGAUCCAGAUAAUGCACCACCUGUCGGGGCACGCGAACGUGGUGGCGAUCGAGGGGGCGUACGAGGACGCGGUGGCGGUGCACCUCGUGAUGGAGCUGUGCGCCGGCGGGGAGCUGUUCGACAGGAUCGUGCACAAGGGCCACUACACCGAGCGCAAGGCCGCCCAGCUCGCCAGGGUCAUCGUCGGCGUCGUCGAGGCCUGCCACUCCCUCGGCGUCAUGCACCGCGACCUCAAGCCCGAGAACUUCCUCUUCGCCGACCACUCCGAGGAGGCCCCCCUCAAGACCAUCGACUUCGGCCUCUCCGUCUUCUUCCGCCCCGGUCCGUCUGUCCAUCUUUUCCCUCCGCAUUCAUCUGCGGCUAGCUAGUUUGUUGAUACUCUGUUUCCGUUUCCAUGCCUUGCUAAGAUUUGACUUUAUUUUCUCGGGUUGACUUUUUUUGAUCGGUUCAUGCGAACAUAAUUUGUAGAUUCAGUAUUAAUUGCGCUUACUUGACUUAAUUUGGUUGUUUUGCUAAACAAAUCUGAAUGAAUUAGCUUAAGGGACUAUUUUUUGAGCUUGAUUCAUGAGCUGAAUUUCUUCUUUUUUAAAAAAAAUUUCUUCGGAAUUUAUUCGCAUUCUGUCGAAUAUAUCGGCACUUGCAGAGUUUUUCAUUUUUACAGCAUAUAAUUGAGACAUAUUGUUCUUAAAAUUGCUGUUUUUCUUUUCUUGUAUGUGUGUUUUUUUGGUUGCCUAUGUCGUAUUUCCCACGUUUCUUAUUAAUUUUCACCUGAAUCUAAUCUUUUGUAAAGCAAAUGAUUGAAAAUUUGAGCUAAUCUUAUUAUCGCAGGAGAAGUAUUCACUGAUGUGGUUGGGAGCCCCUACUAUGUAGCACCAGAAGUGCUGAGAAAGAAAUAUGGUCCAGAAGCAGAUGUUUGGAGUGCUGGUGUAAUCAUCUACAUCUUGUUAUGCGGAGUCCCCCCUUUCUGGGCAGGUGAUUACUUUGCUAUUCCUUAUAUAAAUCAUGUAACUUUUGAUGAUCUCAGAAGGGUAGCAUCAUCUCAUUGAUGACUUCUUUUCAAAAAAAACUAAAUUACAACCAGAAAGCGAACAAGGUAUCUUCGAAGAGGUUUUGCACGGCAAACUCGAUUUUCAGUCGGAGCCGUGGCCUAGCAUCUCAGAGAGUGCGAAAGAUCUUGUAAGGAGAAUGCUCGUUCGAGACCCUAAGAAGCGUUUGACUGCCCACGAAGUUUUACGUAAGUAUCGAUUUCUCAGAGUCAUGAAAUGAUAUCUUGUCGCCUCGAUUUUCUCCUAAACCAAUCGCGAAAAUAAGUACAGUUCCGUAUUGUUUGACGAAGGAUAAUCGCGAAUUAAGAUCGAUUUAACUGCUUCCUUUCAAUUUCUUUCAGGCCAUCCCUGGGUUCAGGUCGGAGGUGUGGCUCCUGACAAGCCACUAGAUUCUGCAGUUUUGUCACGAUUGAAGCAGUUCUCCGCGAUGAACAAGCUCAAAAAGAUGGCUUUUAGAGUAAGCCUUACUCUUGCAUUGUUUCAUUUCUGGUACAAAAAAUUGGUUUGGUUUUGAGCCCUGCUUUUGUUAAGGUUCAAUAUUAGGACUCGAUGAUCUUCUUCACCCUGCAUUUUGAUCCUAAGAUGAUCAAUCAUUUGUUCUCUAGGUUAUCGCCGAGAGCCUAUCGGAGGAUGAAAUUGCUGGCUUAAGAGAGAUGUUUAAGAUGAUAGACACCGACAACAGCGGACAGAUCACUUUCGACGAGCUCAAGGCCGGAUUGCAAAGAGUGGGUGCUAAUCUCAAGGAAUCGGAAAUUUACGCGCUUAUGCAAGCGGUGAGUUUUGCAGCACAUCAUUUCCAUAUCACAGAAAGACUCUCCAUUUAAUGUUUACAAAUGGGUAGAAAACAGUUGAAGGGGUGUUGACAAAUGAAACAACAUGUAUAGUUGUGCCGGAUCUUCUUUUUAGAAGAAUUUGUACUUCGUUUUGAGUUCAAGUAGGGCAUGUUUUCAUCUGCUAUCAUCUUUGCUGAUAUGUCUCUCGUAUUCUGACGGAAACUGCAGGCUGAUGUAGAUAACAGUGGAACCAUAGAUUACGGCGAGUUCAUAGCCGCCACUCUACACAUGAACAAGAUCGAGAAGGAAGACCACUUAUUCGCGGCAUUCUCAUACUUCGACAAGGAUGGUAGCGGUUACAUAACACAAGACGAGCUGCAGCAGGCGUGCGAAGAGUUCGGUAUAGAAGAUGUCCGUCUAGAGGAAAUGAUACGAGAAGUCGACCAAGACAACGUAAAUUGCUGCUACUGGAGCUAAUUGUAUUAACUUCUAAUGAAUAUAAACCAUUCGACUAACCCUUUAACUUAUUUGUGUUCCAGGACGGGCGCAUAGAUUACAGCGAGUUCGUCGCGAUGAUGCAGAAAGGAAACACGGGCUUCGGGAAGAAAGGCUUGCAGAGCAAUUUCAGUAUCGGCUUUAGGGAGGCUUUCAAGCUUGGCUAAUCAGUUACUGCAAAGUUUACUCUCUAGUUUUUUUUUUUUCUUUUCUUUUCUUUGUUAAAUUCCUGAGAUGUUUCUACAUCAUAGGCAUUAAAUUACAUGAGCUGUAAAGAUACAUGAGCGCUAUACCAAUGGAAAAUAUACAACAGUGUAACAGUAUGUCAAAUGUAUGAAGAGUAUAUGCAUGAUUUGUACUUUGUUUGAGAAAUUAAAGGUGAAGCAUGUAGUUUCUUUUGUUGUAUAUAAGGAUUUUCUUGUUCUUGUUAUUAAUUUCUAGUUUAUUAUCCAUCUACUUGGCUUCUAACCUUGAAGCUCUUGUAUGUAGCUUAUGAAAGAUGCCAUUUCACAGUACAGCUGAUUUAGUUUCUCAGUGCUUAUUCGGUUCAACUUUCGUCACUGCUUCGCUACUCGAGAAGCAGAUACGCAUGUGCCUAAGAAAAUAUUUAGAGCUAGUCAAUGCAGCGAGGAGAUAUUUGAAUCCUCAUAAUGAAGAACACUUUCAAUUUUUAAAGUGAUCACACUUUAGAUUCAUGCCACUUUGGUUUCAGUAAUUUGGCAUAUUCUAUUGAGGACUUCAUAUUUCAGGUAGAAGAGAAGGCGAAAGAUAAAAUUAAAGAGGUAGAGUGGAAGAGGAGGGACAGAGUGGAGUGAAACUUUGAAAAAGAAAAACAAACCAAAACAAAACAAAAGGUAGAAAAUGCAAGAAGCAAGAAUGUGGCAGUUUUUCAAUUUUCAUGUAUUGUGCAGGAUUGAUCCAAGGAAAACGCUUCGUUGAUUCUCAUUAUUGUUGGAUCAUGUAAAAUCAUGUUCCGAAUCGAUAUCAUAGUGAAAACAUCGAAAAUUUGAGGUUUAUAGAUGUUAGGUAUCAGAACUUAAAGUUUGAGUACCAGUACUAUAGAAUACCUCAGCAGUUUCUCAAAAUUCGAAACUUGAAAAAACUGUUUUUGUACUAUGUAUCAGUAUGUGAAUUGAGUACCGGUACUGCCAGUACGGGUACACGAAUUGAGUACGGAUACUGAUUUUCUAUUUUUGUAUUGUAUACCAGUAUGCGAUUUCGAGUACUGGUACGCAAUUUUGCAACAGGCUAGAUCUUUUGGAUUGACCCCAAUUUGAUCUAAUUUUGAUCUUAGAGAUUAAAGAUGGUCCAAGAAAACUUUAAAGAAGAUUUUUAAGAGGAGAUUGAUGGUUAGAUGUGAAUCGGAAACUCGGAUGGACGGCUGAAAUCAUUUGCUACUAGACUUUGGGUUUUAGAGUUUAUUAACUCUUGUAAUUAAUGUUUUUAGUUGUGAGCUUCGUUGUAGACACCCCAAUUGACAGAAAAAUAUGGAGAGCUUCUAAGAGAGAGUUUCUUGUAAUCCAAUUUACUCCUUAUACUUUUGUGCUGCAAAUUAAUCGAAUAAUGUAUUGAAGUGGUCUUGCUCGUGAACGUAGAUUGACUCAUCGUUGGCCGAACUACGUAAAUCUUAUAUCUUUUGUACUUUCUUAUUUAUUUUAUUAUUUUGUUAUCUUCGUACUUAUUUUUUACGAUCCUUCUUGCCUUUUUCAUCUAGAGAAUCUUUUGCUGUGCUCAUAUGCUAUGUAAGUUUGAGAUGUACCCGUCAAUCCCCUGGCUGGUCCCCUCAAUUAUAUGUGUUCCUCUACAUAGCGGCCAGAUGACUCAGUCCAAAUGACAGCUGGAUGCGAGCAAUGCAACCUUGUUUAGUUGCUGUGACUACUACACACUGCAUAUACAUACAUACAUACAUACAUAAUACAUAUUUCAUAUAAUUUAUGAAAAAGGAAAUGGUCAAAAAAAAAAAAAAAAGAAAACCAUUGACUAGAGAUAUAUGUCAUUAUAUAAGGUCAUGCCCUGAAAAAGGAUGUAUCCAGUAACAACUAUAUGAAAAUCACAGGUGGCGAAAUGAGUAAAUAUUCCCAAAAGAUGACAUUUUAUUGCAAAUUGUCGUAUAAAAAUAAAUUGUGAAACACAAGAAGCAGAGCGACCAAAAAGAGCAUCUUGCUAUACACAAGACCACAACAAACAAUAACAGGGAGCCCUCCCUCUCUCUCUCUAGUGUUAUAUAAUAUUUAAUAUUAUUAUUAUUAUUAUGAACAUUAUUAUGACACACAACAAUAACAACAACCGCUCACUCAUUUGAUGAUCGCACCCCAACCCCCCGCAACUUCAUAUACCACCAACUAAAAAAUCUAGAAUAAUCAUCAUCCCUGAGGGGGCAAUUUUUAAAAUUUGGUGUUUUUUUUUUGGUCCUUGACUUGUCAUCACCCGAAUUUUGUUUAAAAAUUAUGAUUGGCAGCUGGAGAAGCGUUGACCAAAGCCGCCUAGCAUCUGGCACGCCGCUUCCAGUAAUUUCCCUGCAUUAAUUAACACAGAAAAAAAAGUCAUUAAUUCCAUCAAAAUCAAUUAUCUAAUCAUGCAGUAAACUUUAAUUAGGUCCCCAUAUUGGUGUAUUAUUUUCAUAAUAUUCUCAUCAUAUGGUUGAAAGAAUUGCACAAUAGACUUCAGCUUAAAUAAAUAAAGUCAAAGGAUCUGCAAAUUGAGUAAUAAAUUAGAGAAAAUGAGAGAGGGGAGUUGGAUGGAGGGCGCCACGUCUAAAUCACACCAAUAAUUGAUCGCGUUACAACCGAGGCUUUCUCCGGCGCAGCGGGUGUGGAUGUGACUCGUAACCCACACAUUGGUGUGCAUUCUAAGGAACCCAUAGCAAGAGAACUAAUAAAAGAAUGAAAAUUAAAAUUUAAAAAAAAAGAGGGGAAAGUGACAGCCAGCUCACGGACUGAUGGACUCCAGACGACACCGACACACUGGCUCUCUGACAGCUAAAUUCUACCAAAAUUAUAUUAAAGAGAAUAUUCCAAAAAAGUGCACAAAAUUUAGGGCGAAAUUAUUAAAAUGAAAAGAUAUGUUGAGUAAGAUAAAGACCCUUCACCGUACGUACAUAUGAUAUGGGUAUCUCGCCACCGACACAGCUACAAGGCAAUUAAGCCCGUGCUUUACAAACUUAAAAAAGCCCACACAAAUGCGCAUUUUAAUGCACUGGGUUUUGUUCUGUGUGUGUGUGUGUGUGUGUGUGUGUGUGUUUUAUCUUUCUUUCUUUUUAAAACGGUUAAAUUUAGCUACAAUUACCAUAGCAAUCAUUAUUAUACUCUAUCAAUAAGUAAUAUUCAAUGCUGAUUAGUAAUUAAAAAUGUUAGUUAGUUGCCACCGAGUGCAGAUGACAAAAAGAACUGGUAAUUUGACUUGAAAUAUUUUUAGAAUUUGUAAACUCACAACAAUACAUCUGAAUUAUUAUAAAAACCUGACAAAAAAUUGGUCAAAAAGUUUACAUUUUGAACUUCUUUCUUUUUUUCUUUUUUUUUUUUUUGUUUGCUGCGUUUCAACCAAUGGAUGAAACCUGGAUCAGUUAUUGUCCAGUCAAAUUUUGAGUAAACCCUACAUAGGAGGAUCGAAGAAACAGAACUAAACCUAAGAAAAAGGUUUCAGCAUAGUGUGGUAUGAUUAAGCCAACCAUUAAUUAGGUGAUGAUAUCUUCUAUCAUGAUCAUCUACCCCCCAAGAAAACGAAAUAAUAAAGUAGGAUAGCCUAGCCUACUAUCGUUUUCUCUCAAGAACAAUUCGAUCCAUUUGUUCCACUAAUGUUAAUACGAUGCAGAAAAAGAAAAAGAACACACAAAUUAAUUUCCUAAAUUUGAUCUGAUAUGAACAACUAGGUUUGGAUGAUCGGCUAAGAGUCACCAAAUUUGUCCUUUUGCUAGUAGAAUUAAAAAUUGAGCCGUCAAUGAUGAGAACUGAUGAUUAAAAUUCGCGAAUUUUUUAGUGAUCAGCAAUAUUGAGAAGAGAAUUAUUAAAAAGCAGUGAUCCGAUCUGAGAUGUGAGCUGAUCGAUAGAAUUGAGAAGAGAAAGAAAAGAGAGAGAAUUUAUGCAGAGCAGAGGGAGAUGCAGUGGAUAGCAGUAGUAGUGUAGCGGUGAGUGACUGACCUCUCCUGGUGGGCUUGGGCUUGGGCUUGCGCUUGACGAGGGGCGGCGGCUUGCGGUCGGCGGGAGCGACGGCGGCGCCGGGCGGGAGGGCCUGGUCGGGGGGGAAGAGGACGGCGUCGAUGCCCUGGACGGAGAUCCUGCCGUCGGUGUAGAUAUCGGGAUCGAACAAGUAGGCGGAGCCCUCGGCCUGGCCGAACUUGACGGAGCCGUCGGCCUCGCGGGCGACGACCUUGUGCGGGAGGCGCAGGGUGUCGUAGCGCACCUUGCCGAACCGGCGCACGGCAUUGUACAUGCUCUCCUCGGUCUGGUACUCGGGGAUGAGGUGGUAGUACACGAUCUGCUCGGGCGCGCCGGGCUCGCUCAGCUGGUCGGUGGUGAGGCGCGCCAUGGCCUCGUCGUUGGGGGCGAGCACGGUGAGGACGUAGCCCUCGGAGACGAGGCGGCCCAUCUCGGUGGCGAGGGAGGUGAGGUUGACGAGGAUGUCGGCGAGCUCGUUGUAGCCGCCGUAGAGGAGGAGGGUCUGGAUGAAGUCCUUCACCUGGCUCUCGCCGUCGAACCAGUGCUUGCCGGAGCCGGGGCCGGGGGCGGGGGCGGGGGCGAGCGAGGGGCCGGGGGCCAUGGCGUCGAAGAUGGGGAGGGCCGGGGGGGAGCCGGGGGGGACGGGGGGAGCGGGCUUCUUCAGGCGGUGGGUGACGCAGUGGAAGAGGAUUAGGGUUUGGAGGGAGCGCAGGUUGCGGGGCUCGAGGAGGAAGCGCUUGAACUCGGGGUCGAGGUCGCGGUCGAGGGCGUCGUUGCGGGGGGCGAAGACGGUGAGGUUGUGGCGCCCCACCGCGUCCUCUAGGGUUUGCAACAGGAGGGCCUUCUCCACCAGCUCCGCGAGCUCCGUGUAGUGGGAGUCGAGGAGCGCCACGAGCACGGAGUUGGAGUUGAUCCCAACCCCCGAUCCUCCUCCUCCGGACGACGACGACGACGACGACGGGGACGAAGAAGACGACGAGGAGGACGCUCUGAUUAACUCCGCCGCGGAUCGGGAUCGCCAUGGGCGACGACGUUCGAGGAGGAAACCCUAAACGAUGCCCCUUCUACAAUCUCUCUCUCUCUCUCUCUCUCUCUCUCUCUUCUCCCCCACUCCUACUCUAUUCUCUUCGCUUUUAGUUCAUUUGUCCUUUUCGUUGGUUUUAUUUUUAUUUUCCCCCUCCUCUUUUUGCGAAUUUUCUUUUUAUUAUUUUCCUUUCUCUCGAGGGAAAGAGAAGAGGAGGGGAAAACACGUGGCGAUUGGUGAUGCGUAAAAGACAUGUUGUGUUCCGGGCCCCACUUGCUCGUCCUCGUGAGUUAACAAGAAGCAGGCUCCGAAAUGACGCUUUUGCCCUCACGUACUGGGUUCAGGUGAAGAGCAUGUGCGAUGGGUAGAGUAGUAAUUUGAGUUCCUCCGUGUAAUUUCGCGGUAUUGGGUAUUAGGUGGGGGAUUUAUCGCGGUUUAUUAUUUGACAAAAAUGCCCUUCGUCGUGCGGACGAAGUUGCGAGUUGAGGGGAUGGGCAGUUUAGACAUUUUAGAGACGACCGACGCAGCGAUAGGAAAAUUAUGCGGGGGGCUUAUGGGGACGGAAGCUGAGCUGUCAUUGUUGCCUCUUAGCUUCGUUUUCAAUGUACGCAACCUUUUCAUUGCAAUUAUUUUUUUUUGUUUUGUUUUUGUAGUAUUUAUUGCUUGGUUUUUUUUUUUUUUUUUUUUGAGGAAUUGUAUUUGUCUAAUGAUACUUUAAAUUUUACAUUAAUUUUUGUAAUAUUAACAUGUUAACAAUAUUAUAUAAUGCAUUUAAUACAAAUGUGAAACAAAAACAAAAACAAAAUUCACUGCAACAUGAAAAAAAAAAAAGCAAUUUAGAGGACUUAACAAUACCAUAGUUUAAGGUAUUAAACUAUGAUAUAAGAUAAUUAGAAAAUAAAAAUAUUUCACAAUCUCACAACCACUUCUCUAUGGGUUGUUGACAUGAAAUCACAUGUGCAAGUCAAAUGAAAUUUCUUUAAAGAAACAUUAUAGAUUACUCCUAACAGUACCUUUUUUUUUUUUUUUUUUUUUUGAUAAAUUGUUUCGACCACUGAUAAUAUUAAAGCAAUUAAAAAGAGUUCGGGAGCAGCAUCAGCGUGACAUAAAUAAAAUAAAAUAAAAUAAAAUAAAAUAAUGGAGGGGAGAUGGGAGGGCGAUGUCUCGCCUGCCGAGAAAAUGCUCAGCUCGUCGCAGCGUCGGUGGUGCUUGUGUUGUCGAAAAUAUUCACCUUAUUACAUACGAAUAUAUUUUUCUUAUUCAAUCUUUAUUGUUAUGUUCUUUAUUAUGGUAUUUAUGCGUUGUUUUGGACCACUAUUUAACAUUUAUUGUUAUACGAUUGCAGCCCAGUAACGUGAAGAUGCAUAUGAAUUGAACACAAGCAUAUUCAUUCUUCGCCGUGCUCUAUUUAUAUAUAUAUAUAUAUAUAUAUAUAUAUAGAGAGAGAGAGAGAGAGAGAGAGAGAGAUGAGCUAGAAUAGUCUCAAAAGCACCAUAAAAGUGUUGCUUUUGAGUUUUUAGCCAUUGAAUGGAGAGAUGUGAGAUUGAGAUGAUAGUGGUAGGUAGGGAUGCAAACGGGGUGGAUCCGGGGGCGGGAGAGUUCCCCCACCUCCCGCUCCAUUUCUUAUCAGGGCGGGGCAGAUUCGGGGUGGGUUACUUUUUAUUUUAUUUUUGGCUCCCACUUACCGCUCCAUUCGGGGCGGAUCGGGGCGGGAGCCGGAUUUUUGACAGAUCGGGGCGGAUUGAAGGAAGAAAUGAGUCUCCCACCUCCCGCUCCAUUUACUUGGCGGAUCGGGGCGGAUUCGGGGCGGGUUAUAUUUUUUUAUAUUUUUUGUUCCCACUUACCACCCCAUUCGGGACGGAUCGGGGCGGAGCUCCACCAACCCGGAUCCAUUUGCAUCCCUAGGUAGGUGAUGGUAGGUGGUGGUAGGUGGAAUAGUGUUUAAUCCAAAGGCUAUUAGUAAUUAAGAAGUAGAUCCAAGGACUAAAAACUUAGGAACACCAAGGGGUUGGUCUUUCUAAAAAUAUUCUAGCUCAAUUAUAUAUAUAUAUUUAGCAAGACUUCUGUACUAUUAGAAGUACAGCAGUCUUUAUGCUCCUAACUUUCUAACCAACCAUCAAAUUUGAUGGGGGGUUAGAAUGAAAGGGGCAAGAGAUAUUGGAGAGAAGAAAAAUUCAAGGAGGAGGAAAAUUGAAACACCCAAUUUCUCUCCAAUAUCUCUUGCCCCUCUCAUUCUAACCACCCAUUGAACUUGAUGGGUGGUUAGAAAGUUAGGAGUAUAAGAACUGCUAUACUCCUAAUUGCACAGUAGCUCUACUAUAUAUAUAUAAUACAUAUAGAGAGAGAGAGAGUCCGGCUACUAUGCUAUUAAUAGCACGAAGCACUUGGUGCUACCAAGUUUUCCGCCGUUAGAUCUACCCUUUUGAUCAUUUUCACCCAUUAGAUCAUACUAUUCAACCAACCACCCACUCAACCCUAGGGGGCCCACAUCAUCCUAACCGCACAUCUAUUAAUUCAAUGGCUAAAAACUUGGUAGCAUCAAUGACUUGUGCUAUUAAUAGCAUAUUAGCCUAGUUCUAUAUAUAUAUAUAUAUAUAUAUAUAUAUAUAUAUAUAUAUAUAAGGUGAAUUUUUAUUAGCUUAUUUUAAAGAGCAAUUAUCAUUUUUCUUAUUUAAAACUUGUUGCCAGAGAAAACCAACUACAUGUGCACCGACAGAAAAAUGCAACAAGUAAAUAUGAUGUGAGGCAGUGGCCUUGCUUAGAGGUACAGCAAAGCUUAUUUCAGCAGUCCAAAUCAAGAGAUGGUACAGUCAAAUUAAACAAUUUAUUGAACCCAGGAUUUAUAAAAAGGAAUUGAAAUUUUAGUUUGAUAUGUUGGGCCCUCCUUAAACAUCUUUAACUUAUCUCUUGGUUUUGAAAUGGAAAAAGCUGGUUAGGAAACAAAACACCUAGUUUCAAAAAACAAAUAGAAAGGGACAAAAAGAGACAUUAAAAAAUGCACUCAAUUGGCAAGAUAUGGGCCCUCCAAGGGAGAACAUUAAAAAAAGAAACCAACAAAAUGAUACCCUUCUCCAAGAGAUGCUAAUAAAAGUACUAUAACCAUGCAAUGUACCAUUUUGCAUUUCCACUGUGUAUAGAGAUAAGACCCAACUAGAAGAGACACUGACCAUCAGGGACCAUGUAAUAAAAGUUGGACGUGCUGGAAAAUGAUCUUACCAGCAAAUCAAUAAGCAGCAAAGUCAAUAUUCUUGAAAUCAAAAUCAUGUUUCAUGCUUUUACCCGAUAAAUUCAGCGCAACACAGACUAUUGUUGCAGAAGGUCGAGAAUUAAAAUUAAAAAACAAAAAAGCAACAUUCAAGGUGCUGCCAUUCAUCUACAUCAAAUAAUUCUAUGAUCUGUAGUAGGAUAAUAUUUGUGUUAUUAGUUCCAUAAGUUAUUCUAUAAAAGUCAUAGGUAAUAUCUUAGUAAGCAUUAUAUAUGCCACGUGCUACUUACAAACAUAUUUAUCAGUCCAUAAUCCAUAGGUUACAAAAACAAACAAAGAAUCUUUUAAGAAAGCUCGUUAUAACUUAUCCAGCAGCCAGAUGCACCUCCGAGGCAUCCACGGUGAAGCAUUUAUGUAUAUUCGACAUUAACUGCUGAAGAUUAUGCCCUGAAAUAUUGCAAACAUAAUGGCGUACUUUGAUUAAUAGCUGGAUAUUUUCUAAUAUACAGUACAACAGAUGGAGAGAGCACAAAAAAAAUAGAAAAGGAAAAGUAAAAUCAUCAGCAUGUAUUCUGCAGUAAACUUGAUCAAAAGAUAAUAAAGAACUACAAAUGAAAUAAUAAGCAUCAAGAUCUAAGUGUUAUGUAAAUAAUUUAGCACAAAGCAUGUUGAAAGCACUUUAAUCAACAAUUCGUCAUUGCAAUGCCAUGAUAUAUAGAUAAUAGCUAGUCUGGUACAACUACUUGGGGCCUGUUAAGAUGCAUGGUUAUCUCAUUCAGUAUAACUCUAUAGUUACUAAAGGUGAUACAAUGGUUUAGUUUAUAGGGCCUAUAAAUCAAUUUUCCUCAAAAUCUAAGAAAUAACCUAAAGCGUGGAACUUACUAUGCUAAAAGGUCGGAACUAUUGAGAUUAAGAGUCUAAAAUCAAAUUACUUGGUUCUAAUCAAACAAGAAAAUCCCCAUAUCGCCCCUAAACAAUUGCCUACAGCAGACAUGGAUAUGACAUACAUUAGUUAUACCUACAAGGCAAACAAAACUCUUAGCAAUAUAUAUGAGUUCACAAGAUGACUGCUCGACAAUCUUAAGUUAGAACAAUACCCCUCACAUCCGAAGAGAAUAGCAACCAAAGCAUAAGUGAUGGACACACUCGUAAUAAAAACUGGGCCCAAUGACUUAUUAUUGCUAGUGGAUCCGCUAGCAAUAAAAAAUGUAACGAAGGGAGUAAGUGACAUCCCAAUAAUUCCACAUCGGAUAAUGUGGGAGAGUGUUAUAUGGGUUUAUAAGUGACGGAAACACUAGUAAUAAUAACUGAAUUUAAGCAUUUUAGGCCGAUGGUUUGUAUCCAACGAAUUAUUAUUGCUAGUGGGGCGAGUCGUUACAGGUCGGGUCGUUACAGUAAACUUCAAGAAUGUCACUGAAUGCAGGAUGACAACUAUGUUGAACAGGUAAAAGACUACCAAAAAAACACACGAAAAAAAAGAAGCAAGAAACAUACAUCAAAGAACCAACUGUGCCUCCUAAACUAAUUCUUAAAAUAAUCAGUCAUGUUAAACAUCUUUUCCCAACAUUAUCUUCCACAUAUCUGACUCAUCCAGAAAACACAUGUAGCAACCAGAACAUGUUCAAGAAGUCUUUUCGUACGUCUUAUAAUGCCUUCUAAUAUUUUAUUCCACGAUGACCGAUUGACAGUAGGAUGCGACAAUUUCUCACAAAUCACAAAGUUACUUAUGCCUUCAACCAAUCCACACCGCUCUCAAGCACCAAAUUGGCAAGUUAAUCAAUGGCAAUUGAUCUAGUCUCAAUCAAAGGUUAAAUGGCAAUGAUUUCCAUCACCUAGCAAAGGAUUUUAGUUAGGUUUGUAAACUAAAGAUCUCCUAGUUGUUGUCUCUCAACAUUAUGACGCAACAAGACAUUCCGUCCAAGCUCAUGUCCACCAUUACAGUUUCCUAACAUGAAGGGGUUCUUUGCAGCAAAACAUUGCUAACAACUUAAGAGAGAUGGCAGAUCAGUUGAGGGGAAAAAACUAGGUAAAAUUUGCAAAUAAAAUUAAGGACUCCCACUCAACAAAUCAGCCAGAUUUCAUAUUUGCAUGUUAACUAAGAAUCAGGUGUCACAACUUGAAUACACCUUAAGACUCAAUGAUUCAAGGGGGCACCUCCACUAUGAUACUCAUCAUAACUUAGAGCAUCAUAGAGAAGUAAAUCCUAAAGUUGUUAGUUUACAAUUUCUGAUUAAACAAGCAGAAACUAAUAUUGUAUACUUAAAACUAAAUAAAACUACAGGAACCAAUACCAGGGGCAUAUGAAGAGCUUUACUGAACACAUACUAGCUUAUUUUGGAGCAGAACUUGCAGCACAAGAAGCAGAUGGAGUAGCAUUGUUUAGAAGAGCAGUGCUAUUUGAUGUAACUCUCUCAUUACUUGCCUCCCUGGCAGAAUGAAUUUGACUGCCUAGCGGAGUAGAAGCCGUAUAUGGUCCAACAUUAUCUCUCGUUUCAAGCCGGUCCAUCAUGCGUGACACAGUAGCAAUUCCUGCAUUGACCUCUCUCCUGACUUCAGAACCAAAGUCAGAUAUAACACUGUUCCGAGAAAACAGUCUGUCUCUCCAUCCUCUUGUACUCUUUGUUAUAGAGUCUUUGUAUCUGAUAGCCGCAAAUUCAUGAUAAGGAAACUUGGAUUAUCAAUUAUUGUUCAUAUGCUUGUACUUUUAAACACAUGAAACUAGAGAUUACCUGAUUGAGACUGCAUUCAGGCGAGACUUUAAAGACUCUGAAAAGGAAUGCAGGUCGGAUGGUCCGGCUCUAUCUUGGCUUACAGGAGAAAAUUGCCCAGCAGAACUCCUGAAGUACAAAAAAUAAAAACGAAACAUAAAUAAGGCACAAAGUCCCAGAUAGGAAAAGCUAAUAGCUAAAUUCCACCUCAAGUCCUUUAACUUGUUUGCAAAUUUAACUUUAGUCCUCGAGCCAAAUGGUUGCCAUGUGUAUAGAGGUAACACCCACAUGGCAGCGACAUUGGACUUCUACUGGUCUCCUAACAGGCAUUGAAUGGACGGACUAUAAUGAAAAAUUUAGAAAGCAGCAUUCUUAAGCUUAAAAAUUGACUAAGAGAGAGAGAGUGGAAAAAAAAAAACAAAAAAAAAACUUAACAGCCUUAGAAACCUACAGGAGCAACUUAUUUGAAAAGAAAGUGCAAGCAUAUAUAGGCACACAUGGACACGAAAAUUACCUGUUACUAGCAAAAGUAGCACUAUUCAUGGAUGGAGAGGCUGCAGCUGGAUCAACUGGAGCAGAGUUUAUUGGCGAAGCUUCAUGUGGUGAACCCUCUUCCACCGCAGCAAAAGAAGCUGAUGGAUUAUCAGCAACUAUAGUGGGGACUGGCUCAUUUUCACUUCGAGCCGAAGAUGCAGAGACUGAACCAACAGAAGGAGCAUUUUGAUGUGCUGAGAAGACAAGGAGUUGUGGGCGACCAUGAACUGCUGAUGAUCUACCACGAUGGCCCUCUCUCCUAGCAGUGUGAGAUGUUCUGCGCAUUGCAGCUGCAGCAGCCAAGUGCUGAAUAAUACGCUCUUCAAAUUCAGCAUCAUCUGCCCCUACCGGUAACUGAAAGGAUAUAUUGGGCGGUGUUCAAUAAGAUUCUAUAUGUAUGUGUACAGUUCAAUAAGAUUCAUUAAUUAUAGAUCUAAUUACAUACAUGCUGCAGUUCAAAAUCACCCAGCACUGGAUGAUGAAUAAUGGUAGCAGUUCGUGAUCGGUUGACCCUAAAACUUCUUUCUUCUUCGACAGCCUCAAGUAGUUCUUGGCUGUUACAAUCAGCAGGAAGAACAAAAUCAAACAACAUAAUCAAAUAAAACAACUUUCAAUAAAUUUUUGAGCAGAUUAAACUAAACAGUCAAACCUGCCAGGGUCCUUCAAGCUGAUGGGCCGCCAGCACAUGGGGCACUGGGAGCUCCUUUGGCACCUGAAUCAACAUACAAACUAUUAUGGUGGAAAGUGCAUAGAAAAUCACAUAAAGAGAAGGAACAUAGAAGUUGGUAUAAAACCAUAUUAGAGAAUAGGGGAUCCAUGAGGAAAAGAAAUGAAAAUUUAAGAGGAAAGUGCUAGAGUUAUCAAGAAAUUAUAAUAACAAAGACAUUUUCAGCCGUUAAAUUCAGUUAACUUUCUGGAUGAAGCACUAAAAAUCCAUAACUAACAGCAAACGUUAAUCCCAUCCUCGAAGACAAGCAAAUAAAUUUGAAGAACUAAGGUAACUCGGACAUCUCAUGUCACCAGAAUUUCUCCACAGCAAACUAGAAAUGCCUAGAAUGAAACUGCCAUCAAAUACAAAAGAAAAAGGCCACAGUGAGGCAGAGAAUACCAUUCGAGAAUGCAUUGCAGAUGAAACUCAUGCUUGCAACUAGUCACCUGGGGGAUCAGCAAAAUGUUUGCAAUUCACGAACAAUCUAAUUUAAAUAUCAGAAAGGGGGAAACAUAAUGAUAAAAAUUGAAGUAGAACUCGAAAGAAACCACACCGUUGAGGGAUCACUCUCGCAGAACUCUUCGAGACAAAUGCUGCAAGCAUCAUCACAGGCAUCUUGAAUGCCCCCUUCGACAAAGGCGGCGGCCGACGACAAGUGGCUCUCCAUCUUCGCGGUCUCCUCCAUCCUAGGAUUCGCCCCUACCUCAUAAUAUUAUUUCCAAGAUAAAUCGACUUAGACAAGGAAAUAAACAAAACUAAACAUAGAAUUGGUGGAAGGAAUCAUACUUAGAUGUUAUAUCCCAAAAACGACCAAGCAAAUUAAUCAACAAACCCAACAAACAUCCGCCGAACUCGAUCAAAAGAAUAAAAGCGGCGCCUUUACCAAAGAAGAAUAACGCAGCGGUACUAAGUUAAACCCUGAAAAUCGAACGUGCACACCAAUCGACACGUACGCGGACGGCGAGGGGGAAUAAUCUAGGAAAUUACACAAACUGAAAUAAAGAAACACCAAAUCGAUUGAGCGCCGGGAAGAAGGGGAAAUAGCAAGCGAUCGUGAACAAAAACUGAUACUAAAAACGAAGGAGAAAAGGAAAAAUAUCACGAAAUGGAGGGGAGAAAGGAGAUCGACGCGUACCUUCGAGGGAUUGAACAAGGUUUAGGGUUAAAGGAUCGGAUGAUCGGGAUCUUUCAAGGGAUGCGGAGCUCGGAAUCCAUUGAAGCGGCAACGAUGCGAAGCGAGGAGAGGGGAAAAGGGGACCCCGUCUCUCUCUCUCCCCCCUCUCUCUCUCUCUCUCUCUUCUUCGUCGAAAUGGUAUGGGGGAUUUGUUCGCGUUUUUUUUUGUGGUCGUAACCCUAAUUAUUCCUCUGCCGUUCGGAGGGAGAUCACGACCACUGUUGGUAUACGGCGGGAAAAAAGUCGGCUAGACCCGGUCUAUCACGUCUACCACGGACCGCAGUUGACCUUGGCAAACGGGCCUGUUUAUGGACCGGGCCUAAUUUGGGCCGAGUUUUAUUGUUUUUUUGAUGUUUGAACCCGACCCGGUUUGAAAUUUGGGUCGCUAAUUUAGGCUCGCAACUGGUCCAAAAUGACCCAGGCCAUUAUACGACCUGAUCAAGCAUGCCCUACGGCGCGUGAUUGGUGCUAGGGGUGGAAAUGAGCCAAGCUUGAGCGAGCUUAUCUUAACUCAAGAUUGGCUUGAAAUUAAUUUCAAAAUUAAAUUUAAGCUCAAGCUCGGUUUGAAUUAAUUGGAGCCGAGGUCAAGCGAGCCCAAUUUCGAUUUGAGCAAGCUUGAGCCCUAAACGAGCUGCUUGAAAUUCUUAACAUUACGCAAUGUAUAAUCUAAUUUUUAGAUAAAUAUGUCUAAUAGUUUAACAUACAAAAUAAAACGUAUGAAUACAAAAUUAUAUAUGAAGAAAAAAAAUUAGAGAAAUCAAUUAUGCGACCAAAAUGGAAAAGAGGGGGGAGAGAGAGUAAUUAGAAUAGGGAUUUGCUUGUUUGGUUUUAUAGGCCAGCAAAUAUGCCCAAUAAUCAAAAUUCUAUAUAAAUAUAAUUAAAAUAAAUAAUAUAAAUUAUAUAUUAUAUAUAAUUAUUAAUUGGGCCGGAAUGCUUGUAAAUAGCAUUAGCAUUAGACGAUGAGAAAAUACCUUAUUUGUUUCCGUAUGUAAUAUUGCGUUCCGCAUAUUGCAGUUAGUCGGUUACGAUAUAUUUUCUGUGAUUCCAUCGAAAAACGCAGAAGCAUAUCCCUACACGCUCUCCCUACAUGCUUUUUCUCAACUCUAUUCUGUCUAAUAGCGUUAGAUCCAUCUCAAUACCAAACUAAGCAUAAGUCGUUGGUGUUAUUAAGUUUUUGGGCGGUGAAGAUGAUAGUAGUCCUUAUGGCACACACACGAGCUUUUCGAGCCUAAUUCGAGUGAGCCUGGUAAUGUAUCAAGCUCUGCUUGAAAUAAAAAAAAAAUAAAAAAUAAAAAAAAAUUGCUUAAGCUCGAUUUAUUUAAUUCCGAAUCGAGCGCGAGUGAGCUGAAUACCGAGCUGGCUUACUCAUUCGCCGGCCCUUGUUGGUGUUGAGGGUGAGGUAGAGCAUAUACAAAUAUACUUUUCUAUCCCCCGUGGGACAGUCAACCCCUAAGAACUCUUUUAUUGUUACCGGCCUUUAUCGUAUAAAAUGAAAAGUUUCAAUUGGAUUCCAGCAGAAUCUGAGCUGACAGAAUUUAAGCCGAGUUAUUUUUCGGAUGGUUUAAUUGAACCUUCAAUAUAGGAGUAUGCGAUAGUCCAAUCCCCAACUUUUUACUUGCACCGUACUAGACAAUGGUGGUGUGUUAUAAGUACCUUAUUUAAAAAGAGAUAAUAUAUCAAAAGAAACCGACUGUUCCUAGAGCAGAUGGUAAUGGACUUGAUAGUUGGUAUCCGAGAUCCCAAGUUCAAAUUUUAGUUAAUUCACAUUUACAAUUAAAUUUAUUUCUAAAUAAAAUAAACGAAACAAAAAAAAUGAAAAUAAUAUAUCGAAAGAGACCAACUCCUACCACUGUUUUAUUCUGCGAGUCCGACUAAGACUAGUGCUAUUAGAAAUAUUUUACUAUAAUUUUUAUUUUUCUUGUUUUACUAAUUUUACAGCAAGAAUCAAAAAUUAUUAUUAUUAUUAUUAUUAUUAUUACAAUAAAUAGGCCCCAAAAGUCAUAAUUUUUGGUGUGACGCUGUUGACUGGGCAAAUGGCUGGUUUGACUCAUUUAAAGCUUCUACAUACGAGCUCAUUGAAUAGUGUUCCCACGAGCCACUGCUCCAUGUCAGAUCUGUGUACAAUUCCAUUGGCUUUUUGUUCAUAAAGUGAUCGUACAAGUGCAGCAGAAUUUUCUUCGUUUGGGAGUAAUCAGAUUUGGUUUGGCAUGUGAUUAGAAUUUGAUGCCCAAAAUAGACAAAAGGGCAUUUACAAAAGGAGUAGUUGAUUCGAUGUUGUCUUAGUUUGGAUUUGAUGCUUAAACAUAUUUUAUUCUACAUAUCUCGAUUGGAUGCUAAAAAAUAUUUUAUUCUACGCAUUUUUUUUAAAACAAAACAUAAUAUUUGAUGAGUAGAAAAAAUAAUUAAAUGCCCAGUAUUGUAUAUUCAGUCUUCAAACUCAAUUUUUUAAAAUUAUCCCUAACACAAUUCUCUAAAAGUUUUAAGUUUCAAGUUCACAUUUCUAACUUAGUUUAUUUUAAAAAAUAAAAUAAGUAACUUGGCUACUUUUAUCUAAAAAGAUAAUGAUUAAAAUUGGCUGGGAAUAAUUUUUUCUCUAAUUUUUACUCAAAAAAAAAGAAUUAAAAAAAUUAAGUUCUUUAACUUGCAAUCACAAUAAAAGAAUUUUCGUACCAACUCAUAUCAAACCAUUUUAGCGUUCAGAUUAAGAUUGGCUAUGUUGUCACCUGAAAGGGACAAUAAGAACACCAACAUCACCAACGCAUAUCAAUUAAGACUUACAUGGACAUUUGCAAUAUUUCCAGCUUUAUAGAAAUAUAACAAUAUGAUUCUUCGAUGACUUUUUUUUUUCAUGAUUCUGUGGACAUGGAUGUAAUAGAUUCGUUCAGAAAAUGUUCAUUUGAUCAUCUAAAUUGAAAGCACAAGUUUGGUACGUAAACUUCUUUGAUAAUAGUCGCAGACUUAUAUAAACUAUAAUCCUUAUCCACAAUUCAUAUCACAAAAAGACCGACCGUUUCUAGAGUAAGUGAAAAAAGAUUUGGUGGUUGGUAUUCGAGACCCAAAUUCGAAUGAUAAAUGAUUCACAUUUCUAGCUAAGCUUAUUUCUAAAUAAAAUAAACGAAACGAAAAAAUUGCUACCUAUUUCUAUAUAUAUAUAUAUAUAUAUAUAUAUAUAUAUAUAUACCACAACGAGUGAAAAUUGUAAGAAAAAAAACAGAAUGUGGGGCCUAAAAUGUGUAUAAUGCAGGCCCACAAAAAUUUAGUCUAAUCAUGCAUAGUAUAAAUUUACAAACACACAAACAAAUUACUCAGAAUUUUUUUGCAAUCUGUUGCAUUUCUCUUAACUUUAUUAUCCAUACGAUGAUUUAGAGCUUGUGUAUCUCGUACAUAGACACCUUUAGAUCACACGAUUAUUCACUCAGAUGUAAUAAAAAUUUCUAUACACACAAUCGAAAUGACGAAUAAUAAGAUAAAAUAUACAAUUAUGGAGAUGAGAAUUGAUAAGAUAUUUUGCCAAAAUAAAUUUUACUAUUAUCAAAACAGAGAAAUAUAACUAUUUUGAUAAUAUUAAAAUCUAUGUUUUUUGACAACAUUAAUUUCCAUUUAGAAUAGAAAGAUUUUUUUUUUUUUGUGAGGAGCAAAAACCUCAAGGAAAAAAAAAAAAAAGAAAAAAAAAUCCGAAACGAAACCGUUACCGUUCGUCCUCCACCUGCGACGGGCUCCGCCAGAACCCGGCGCCGUAGAAUCUCUUCCACAUCUCCUUCUCGGUUUCGGACGCCUCCUCCUCCGCCCCCGUCGCCGCCUCCGCUUGGUGGAGGUGGAGAUAGAACUCGACCCCGUCCUUCUCCGCCGCCGCGGCCGCGUCGCCUCCGCCUCUGCGUUCGGGGGCGGCGGCGAGGAGCCCCGGCGCUCUGGCCCUCCUCCGCCGCGCCGCCCUCGCCCUCAUCGCGCGGCGGCAGAGCCCCGCGGGGAGCCUCACCACGGCGGUGACGACGAGGUCGACCACCGCGCAGGGGCAGCAGCAGCACACCGCCGCGCACCCCGCCGCCGUCCCCCCCGCCGCCUCCCCGAUCCGCCGCCGCGCGCUCGGCCGCGGCCCCGCCACCGCCGCCUCCUUCAGUAUCACCGGUUGCCUCCUCCUCGCCUGCACCGCCGCCGCCGCCGCCGACGACGACGACGACGACGACGCCGCGGGGGCCCCCCUUCGCCCCAUCAGAUGCCGCGCGAUCCCAUCGUCGAGAUUGAAAGAGGGGAAAAGUGGAAGGGUUUCGAUCGAUCCUUAGAACCCGGAAGAACCGUCGCGAAGAUUCCGGAACGAUCCGCGAGAUCGUCGCUGAGAAGGCGAGAACGCACGAGAGGGAAACGGAAGCCGUUACCGGAAACGGGAUUUGGUUGGAUUGUGUCGAACGCUGCUUCUCGCGUCUUUUGCGUUCCAAAGAAGAGACCAUAAUUAUUGCAUAGACCGUGGUCCGUACACCGCAUAUUUCAAAAACUUUUAAUCUAUAGAGCAUAAAAUUUGUAACUCUUUGCACCAAAAAUAACCGUCCCUAAAGUAAGUCGCAAAAGGCUUAAUGGUUCAUACCCGAGAUCCACAGUUCGAAUCUUAAUUGAUUCACAUUUUUUGCUAAAUUUAUUUCUAAAUGAAAUAAACGAUGCGGGUAGCGUCCAAUGAAAAUUCCCGAAAUUCUAUAGAAUUAAAACUUUAAUUUUAUUUAUUAAAAUUUAAAACUAUUUGGUUCUGUAAGUUAAUAAGAAUUUAAGUAAUUUAAAAGAAUCUGACUUCAUAAAAUGACUUUCAUCCUUUUCACAUAAUUUUAAAUCGAAUUGGUGAGGUCAUUUGCUAUUUAGUUAAUUAUUAUUUACAAAAAUAGCUAUAAAAUCUCUCAAAUUAUGUAAAUCAUAAUAAAAUUAUAUUAAAAUAAGUUUUCAUAAUUUACCAAACAAGGCAAAUAGAAUAGAAUUUUGUGGACCUCCAAUUUAGAUUUAGUACCAAAACGAGAAUUAAAAAUUUGUAUUGUAAAGUAACAAUAAUUCUAUACCCAGAUAGAAAAUAUAUACUAAUAUGGAUAUGGUCGCAUCAGAUGCAAAGUAAAAUUAUGAACCGCUCCUCUUCCUUACCAUUUCGCCGGAAUCCGACAACUCCUUCACUAUGUAGAUCUUAAAAUCAUUUGCAUAAUGAAAACAGUGAAGUUAGUUGUUUAGAUAAAGACAUCUCUAAUAAAAUACUGGUGGACGACCUAUAUAAUGAUUUAGUUUCUCACUAUGACUAAAAAAUUAGACAUAAGCUCUGAUAAAAAAAAUUAACAGUAUAAAAAAUCAUCAAAUGAAAAUUCUAGCUUAAUAUGUAGGAUCAAAUCGAGAGGAAUAGAGGUGCCAACCGCGGCAAAGUUGCCGAUUUUAACACACUUUUUACAGACCAGUAUUGUCUAAGUAAUGAAAUUAAUUUUUAAAAUAAAAUAUAAUAUAUCUGCGGACUUUGUAGAAAUUUUGCUCUCGGUCUAUAGAUUUUUUUCCAACGCAGAAAUUACCAGGAAAAAGGGUGUGGGCCCGCCGGCCCUGCUGACGUAAGAAUUACGUGGCACCAAUGGCCCUGAGGGCUCCACGUGUCGAAUCUGGUUCAAUUGGCAACAACUAGGAGUUCCGUUGGGCUGGGCCGUACUAGGCCCGAACUACAACCUUGAUUUUAGAUCUAAAUAAAUACAGUGCGGAAACUUUUUUUUUUUUUUCCUGAUUCCAAAAAGCCAAUAGAAAGCUUAGAAAUACGCAAUCAAUUCACUUAAAGUAUACAGAUACAGCACCCACGAGUUUCGAUUGUGACUUGAUCCAAUUAGCCUCAUGCCACUUCGAACAUGACUCCGCCCACCCAGUCUCAUGCAUUUCGAACACGACUCGACCCAACAUGACCUCCCGCCACAGGGCGGGAUGCUGGCCCAUUUAAGCCAACAAAUCACACCACUUUAAUUAUAUCUUGUCAAUCAAAUAUUAUUUAAACUGAAAAAUAUGAUAAAAAUAUUUGUUUAUAAAUUAUGAUAGGAUAGAUAAAUUAUAAGAAAAGAUUAUGAUUGGUUGGGACACGCCGCGUAGAAUAUGUGAAUGACAUAUUGUAGAUUUUUUUCUGCAAAGCAAGGCUUGCGUCUUUCCCGGUAUUAAUCUUAUUUUGUGGUUCAGCGAGUCUAGAAUGUAGCAGGACUCAAUAUAGUGUCUGAUCGAAGUGGGAGGGGCUCAAAAAUGAACUUAUAUUUUAAAUCUUCUGCAGAGCAAAUACGUUAUAGGAUUAUAUAAUAAUAAUGUCCAUUUUAAUAUUAUCCUAGCGCAAGUGGCAAAUGGCUUGGUGGUUGAAAUCCGAAAUUCUAAGUUCGAAUCCUAGUUGAUUCACAUUUCCAGCUAAGUUUAUUUAUAAAUGAAAUAAGCAAAGCAGGUAGAAUGCUACUUAUCUCUAAGAAAAAUAAUAAGGAAUAAAUUUUUUUAAAAUAAAGUUAUUUGCUCCGGGCCAAAAAUUUCUACGAUGGCAAGCUUAAUUGGCCCAGAUAUCGCCUGGGCCGAUUUGGUCAUUCCUCACAUCUGACCUCGAACAUCUAAUUUUCAUUGGAGAUAAAGUAGUAAUGCGACUCUGAAUCAUUAAUAACUAGUGUAGUAACCCGCGCGUUGCAGCGGAUAGAUAUAGUUAAAGUAAAUUUAUUAUAUAGCUACUAAAUCAAAUAUUUCCUAUUAUUUUGAAAACCAAAAUGGUUCAAAUGAACUGGAUUCCAGCAAAAAUUUAUGUAUACUAAUAUAUUGAACCCGAUUAGUAACAAAAUGCUUAUAGCAAAAGAAUAAGUAUGCCAAUCUACUUAGUUGAAUAGUAACAAAAUUUAUACUAUUUAGGAAGAGAAAAAAGUUUAGAUAAAAAAUCCAACAAAAAACAAUAUUUCACAAAUCAAAGCACUCAAAGACUUAAUUUUUCUUAUAUAAGCUAUAUUUCAAGAAAAUGAAGAUAUUUUUAAAUUAUUAUAUAAAUCUAAUUUUGUCAACAUUCUUACAUCUAGUAAUAAAAAAGUCAUAAAAGUAGAAAAAAUAAAUUAUACAAUAUUUUUUUAAGAGACAAAAAAAUAUACAAUCUAACACAGUAAAAAUAAUACAGAAUUUUACUAACCAAUAUAGCUAAAAAAUAAAAAAGAAGUAAAGAAACAAAUGAUACUAUUGCUGCUCCUCCUCUUUCGCCACAGUACCCUUGCGCUCCAUCUCUUCUUCGACAUCAGGAUCAUGUUCAAGAUACCGACAGUCCCUAUAGCAAGUGGCAAAGGGCUUGGUGGUUGGUACUCGAGAUCCAAGUUCAAAUCCCAGUUGAUUUAGAUUUCUAGCUAAGUUUAUUUCUAAAUGAAAUAAACGAAGCGGGUAGCGAGCUACCUAUCUCUCUCUCAAAAAAAAAAAAAAAGGAUCAUGUGCAAGAUCAGCGUUUUUGAGCAACGUAGUUGUAGAUGUUCCGCUGUUUUUCGGGUAGGAUGUUGAGCUCUGCGUGCUCUCCCAUCUUCCUAGUCUCACCUAUGGCAAAAAUAAGGCAAAAGGCCAUUGGAAAAAGGAUCGAAUAAAUGCAACGCAAGACAAAGGACCAUUAAAAAAAAUAGAGUUAAUAUAGUUUGUAAGAAAAAAAAAAAAAUUUUCCGUGACGGUUGUUUGGCUGAAAGAAAAAGAAAAAAAAUAAAAAAUUAUUUAAUAUAUUUUUUAUUAUAUAUANAGGAACUAGUUUUAUCUAUUAAACUCUGCUUGAAGUACGAAACAAUUGAUUUUUAAAUUUAGAAUCCCGAAUAUCAACCAUACAAUUCUUAAGAAAAAAAAAAGAAAUGGCUUAAGGAAGACGAAGAAAGAGAAAAUAGACGUGCCUAUGUAAAACAAAAGAGAAAAAAAAAAUCUCAAAAAAAAUAAGGUUGUGCCAUGAGCUAUAAAUAUUAGGUAUUAACAGACCGGUAUAGAUUCUUAAGAGAAGAAAAAUGGCUCAAGAGAAAUGAAGAAAGAGAGAAGAAAAGAAAAAAAAUUCUAAAAAAAAAAAAAUUGCACCACAUCAGCUAUAAAUAUUGGGAAUUAAUAUAUAGGUAUAGAAGAUUUAUCAUGAUUACGUACUCCCGGUAAGCUCAUCAGGAAAACGAUAAUGUGCAAGUUGGAGGUACAAAGUUGAUGUUUUAGCUAAUCCUACUAGGACAUAAUUAAAUAAUGAUAUAAUUUUAUUUAAUAUUCAUAAUAUUGAGUGAUUUUCUCAAUAAUUAACCCAACUUUUAAAACACACAAGGAUCAUGAAAAAUGACAUGUUGGUCCAUUACAAUUGAUCUCGAUUAUUACCAAGCUGAUAUUUUUCUUCUUUCAUGUAAUUCAAGGUGGAAUCAUUAUUCUUAUUAAUUCAAUUACAUGAGUCCGACUGGAAUACUAUCCAUAGCGCCAAGGAUUUGAUACUAUCGAGUUUUUCACUAUUAGAUUUAACUCUUUGAUUAUUUUUACCCGUUAGAUGAUACUAUUCAACCAACCAUUCACUCAACCUUAGGAGGGCCCAUAUUAUCCUAGCCGCACAUUUCUCAAUGUAAGGGCUAAAAAACUAAUAGCAACAAUAGCUUAGUGCUAUUGAUAAUAUUCCAGCAUAAUUUCAAUUACAUCAAAUUACUGUAUUUUAUAUAAUAUUAUAUUUGUUCAUAAAAUAAUAUUUUUCUAUCGAAGUGUUAAUGGAAUAUACAUCACAAUCUCAAACGAAAAACACUCUUUCGUACAUCCAAAAAUGAAAUGUAAAUUUUAUCCCAUUCAUGAAGUUCAAGUAAUUUAUAUAGUAAUAUUAUUCUCCAAUCAAACUUGCUUUUCUUAUUUUAUUUUUAGACAUAAAUUAAUUCGAGGGUUUAGGCUACUUUCCUAUUGGUAGAUGGUGUAUCUGAUUUUUUUUUCUUUAAUUUUUCUUUUGGGCGGGUAUACAACUAUACAAGUAAUCAAAAAGUAACAAUAAUAAUAAUAAAAAAAGAAGAGAGAGAGAGAAAAAGCAAUGUUGGAUUACCAUGAAUAAUUUCCAAGUUUCUAGAAUAUAUCCACACGUUACGUACGGACCUAUAUAUGACUACAACAUGAAAACAACACGAGAGGAUCUAAAUUGAGAACUUGUUGCAAUAACUAUUCACAUAUUUCAUAUGGUACAAAAGUGUUGCUUUCAACAUUAGGUGUAAACAAAAAAUUAAUUAAGGAAAAGCUUAAUAUACAAAGAAAUCUACAAGAAAGAGCUCUCAACUUGUAGCAUUAAAAAAGAGAAAAAAAAAGGAAAAGACUAGACUACUCCCUAUACAUUGUCAAGUUCUCCCUACGUCGAUGUAUCAACCAAUCAAAUCUCUAUGACGAUUCGAUCGGCUGAGCCGAUGCGCUUGACCUACGCCUCCGAUACUCUUUGUUGUUCGACGACGGCUCGAUCACGUCGGCCGCGAAGCUGACCUUCUUCUUGGGUCGGAUUCGUUGAGUACCGUUCCCUAUAAUUAGCCGGGACAAAAAGGAUUAAUGCAAUUAUUAAGCAAGAAUAUAAUUACUGCAUUAAAAACUAUUAAUCAAAUUAUUAGGCAGGGGGAGGUGGUUGUGCUCCACAAGAAAAGUCUAAUCAUUAUUGGGCAUGUAGUCUCUUCACCUACCCAAUUACUAAAUUAAUAUAUAAAAAGUUAAAAAGAGGAACAAGUGAUUGACAAUUUGGAAAUUUAUUUCUCCGGGAAAAAAAAAAAAAAAAAACCGUACCACAUCCUUACAAACAGAAUUAUAAGCUGUGAACUGACCAAAUUCAAUACAUUUAUUUUCGAUAUAAUUAAAAAAAAAAAAAGCUAGCGUACCGAGUUCGGAUUCGAUCUUCUUGAGAAACUCCGAUGUGAGCCGCCGGUGGAUCUGGAAUGCGACGAGCGCGACGCUGCUCGAGACCGCGACGACCGCCAUUAAUCCCACACAACUGCUGCUCCCCAUCUCUUUUUCUCGUCUUUCUCUCUCUAGUCUCUCCCCCCCUAUAUCUCUUCUUCAAUCUCUCUCUCUCUCUCUCUCUCUCUCUAAAUCAUGAAUUCCAUAGAGGCCCAUGAGAAAGAGAGGAGGUGUUUAUAUACAUGCAUACAUACGUAUUGGUAAUUGAUGUAUACGUACAUAUUGGAGAUGUAUCUAAAUUGGGUUAGGAGUAGGAUUCUAAUACGAGAGAGAAUAGGAGAGGAGGGGAGGGGAAAAAGGAGAGAGAGAGAGAGAGAGAGAGAGAGAGAGAGAGAGAGAGAGAGAGAGAGGACGCGGCAGCGAAAAGCACAUGGAAAAGAGCGGAUGUUUAUAGAAGAAAACGGAGGGAUGUAUCCGUUUCAAUUUAAUUUUUGACUUUUUUGCGACAACCCAAAUUCGUUGUAUUUGACUAUUCGAGUGACAUGUGGGCCCCACAUAAGCGGGCCCCACGUGUCGGUUUCACAAGUUGUGUUAUUGUUUGACUCCGUUAAUAUCUAGAGUUUAUCCGGAUUUAAUCCCGCGAUGAUAAUAAUAAUAAUUAUUAUUAUUAUAAUAAUUGGUCUCAGAUAUUUAAAAAUAUAAGGAAAAAUUUCACAUAUCACCCACGUGGUUUCACAUUUUCUCAUUUUAAUAUCCUGUGGUUAAAAAUAUAUUAAUUUAGUGUCCUGUGGUUUUAUUUUUAUCUUUUUGUUAGAUGUUUCGUUAAUAUUUUGUUAAAUUAUAUACAAUACUUUCAGACACACUUAAUUAAUACAUUUUAAACCAUAGAGCACUAAAAUAAAAAGCGCGAAAUCACAUGGGUGGUACUUAAAAUUUAUCCAAAAUAUAAAGAUAAUAUUGCAUAAGCAGAUGUAGUUUAGAAAGAAAGGAGUAUUAACAAGGAAUAAAAAAAAUUAUGUAGAAUAGAGUUUUACAAGAGCAUUUUAACAACAAAUUUUUAAUCAAUUAAAUUGUUUUAAGUUCUUGAUCAAAAUACUUUAGUUAGCUUUUGAAGUAUAUAUUCAAGAUUAUUUGAAUUUGAUUUUAUUAGGAAUUUUAAUAUAAAUCUGAAAAAUACGUAGUUGGUAAAAAUUUCUGGGUUAAACUUUUUUUUUUUACUUCUAUUUUUAUUUUAAUAUAUAUGAGAGGCCAAAAAAGGAAAAAAAAAAGGAAAGAAUUUAUAAUAAAUGCAGAGAUUUAAAAUAUAAUUGUAUUUAGAGAACGAAUUUAAUUUUAUAUGGUUAUACCCCUGUGACUUCACGGUUUUUCUCGAUGUUUCGUUUUAAAAAAAAAUUAUUAUUAUAAACAAUAAUGGCGUAUAUAAUAUAUCGGUUGAGUAAAUGACAUGUGGGGCCCACUCUCGGGCAUUCAAGGCCACAAUCACUGUGACGAGAAAUUAAAUUAUUUAUUAUUAUAAAAUUUUUAUAGAAAAAAAUUAUAUUUAAAUGAGCUGGCAAAUAAAAAUUUUAUUCUUGUGAUUGUUGGAUAUUUUAAUAUAUUUUAGUUGGAUGCUGAAAUAUUUUUUUUUCAAAAAUUUAAAAUAAGUGAAUAGACGUGCAUAUGAGUCAUUAUAAAUUUGGAAAAACAAAUAGCUUAGACUUUAGAAUCAUGGUGUACUAAUCUUAAAAAAAAGGUCAAAAAGAAACGUAAAUUUUAUGCAUGGACCUUUUAAGCAUUAUAGAUUACGUGCAGCGUUAUAACUUUCAAAUUUAACGCAUUUAGAAUUGAACUUUACAAAUUGAGCACUGCGGAGUUUUAAUACUUUUUAUGCUUAGGCCACAUACAAUUCAUUACAUUUCAUGCAUUGAAGAAAAAAAGAAAAAAAAAAGAAAAAAAAAGUUAGUAAUCGUAUUCUAUGAAAGAACGAAACUAUUGUAUAAUCUAAAACACUUUAUUUAUUGAUAAAGAGAGUUUUUACAAUUCAAUAGUUUUUUUUAAUACAAAAUUAUAAAAACAUAAGCUGUUACAUGUUUCAUAUACANAGAGAGUAGGUAUGCAGUAUCUUUCCAUCUACAUAAAAAGAUUAGGCCAAUUUGCAUAAAUAAUUCAUAAGUUUUAAACUUUUAUAAAACUAGACCUUUUUUUAAAUUUUUCAUAUUCGAUCAGAAUUUUUAACAAACUUAUCAAAAUAUUCUUUUUUUUUUUCUCUUGUUUUUUUUUUUUUUUCUCUCUUCAGGCAGCGGAGGCGGAGGCGGCUGCACACUCUCGCCCUCGACCGCACCCGCACCCCAGGCUCUCCUCGCCUCCGACCGUGCCAAGGCCGUGCCGCUACCAUCAUUUUUUUCUCUCCAACCCUUCUCCACCGUCUCUGCAGUCCUCCGUAAUGGUAACGAAAACGGCAACCCGUUUUCUUCCUCCGCCUUCGCUCUUCACCUCUACUGCAGCAGAUUUUGCAUCCAUCAAACCCAUUUCUAAAAACCUGCGGUCGACACCACCGCCGCUGACGACAAAGAGGAAGCGCUUUUCGGCGCCGAGAAGCUCGUCGGCGAGAGAGGGAGCACGCGGCCCACCCGCCUACCCCAGAGGGCAACGGCGAGCGCGGCCUCGGCGAUGUCGGAGGCGUGGAUGGUGAGAAGUGCACAGGAGGCGCGGCCCACUCGCUUUUUCACUUUUCCCUUCUGUUAUUUAAAAAUCUACACUUUGCUCUUUUAAAAAAUAAAAAAUGUUCACUUCAGCCCCCACCCUCAGUUGUUCCGUUAGGGUUUCGCUUAUAUCUCAUUUUUGUACCCAAAAUAUUCCUGAAACCUUCGUCCAUAUCCACAUACAUGCCUUCAGCUGCUGCCUCAUUCUCGCCCACCCUUCUGUUCAUGCCCAGACACACGCCUUCGCCCUCCUUCACCGUCGGGACGAGCAAGAUUGGGGAGGGGGAGAUGAAGAAGAUGAGGACAAUUUGAUCAUUUUAUCACACUGUAUCCCUCGUGAAUAUAUUUUUUUUUCAAAAAUAACAAAGUGUAGGUUUUUGAAUAAUAUGAGGAAAGUGAAAAAACGUAUAUUGAUUGAAAAAUUUUAUAUAAUUUAGCCUAAUAUUUAUGUCAUAACAAAAUUUUAUAAAUUUUUAAUGUAAACAUAGAGAAGUAUUCAUAUAAGUAGAUAUUAUUAUUUUUCUGUGAAAUAACUGCGACGAAAAACGACUUUUUUUCAUACAGAUCGUUUUCUAGAUUAUAGCACCCAAUUCUAUUUGGAAAAACCAUUGCAUCUUCUAGAAAAAUAAGAAGCGUGAAAUGUGUGUUGUUUUGUUUAAGAAGGGGUGAUGUGUCAAUGGGCCCACCAAAAGCCGAAGUUGUGGGCUGUGGUUGGUCAAGUCAAUGGAUUUAAGCAUAUACUAAGACCAUUAACGUUGACCUUUAGUUUUUGCUUUAGAAAAAAAAAAAAAUUGAAUUAUUGGUCGGCAAAUUUAGAAGUUUGGUGGGCCAACUAAUAUUGUAAUUAAUAGACAAAAUGUUAGAUGAUCUGAUCAAAUCAAACUAGAGUAUCUGAUAUUUUUAGAUAUAGCGGAUACGAUUGCGCCACUCAUAUUUUGUUGAUCUGACUUGACUUGAUUUUGAUACGACUUUAAACAUUUUAAAAUCUUAGAAGACUCGAGUUUCUCCACAUCUCAACAUCUAAUAAAUUGAACUGGCCCAGAAUAAGAAAACAAUCAAAACACAUGAAAAAUUAACAGUUGGAAAGUAAUUGAGACAAAAAAUGCUCAUAAAUAAAAUUAACACAUGGAAACAAUUUGUAGAACCCAAAAGUUUUUGUUUUUUUUGAGAAAUAGGUAGCACGCUAUCCGUUUCGUUUAUUUUAUUUAGAAAUAAACUGUAUAACCCAAAAGUCGAAACAAUCUGCAUCUAAGGAUCCAAGACUUGAGUAAGAUGUGAACUCUGAACUUAUAUGCAUUCCGAAAUUGUGCAAAACAACUAAAAAAACAAGCUAAAUGGUUAAAAACUUUAAAUCAAAUUAUUGUUUUAUAUUGCAACUUACAUCUUCAGUCCAGUUCAUAAUAUUUUGGAUUGGACAUUGCCAUUAGAGUGUUGAGAAUAUAACAGUUCAAAAUCUUACUGAAACUAUUAAAUUAUAAUAAUUUAUUCUGAUUAAAUUGCAAAUCACAGUUUCCAAAUAAUACGUGGCACCUGUGCGCUCCACUAUUCACUAAUAUCAAUAUAUUUUACACGUGUCGUCCCCUUGCCUUGCCACGCUACACAGGUCCCACUAUUGUUGGGAGAUCUAAUCCCCCUACAGUAUACUGUAUACGGGAUGCGACCGCCACGUGAAACCUUAUCCGAGUCUACAAAAUGGUUCGUAAAAAUGUAUGGAGACCCCCUCAACUACAGUCAAUUCUAAACUAGGUCCUCACCUUCAAUUUUUGUUAUUUACGUCAUUUGAAAUUUCUCAAUUGAAUAAGUUAAACUUUUUUAAAUUUUACGAGUCAAUUAGAUAUUUUAUAGUUAAUUAAUCUAGUAAAUUAGAAAAUGUAUUAAUUUAAAAAAAUUACUUCAGGGGCGGCCUCAACAAGUUGUAUAGAUGAGGGGUCUCUUUACAAUUUUUAUCUAAACACUCCAACUCCCGUGCUCUUCUUCGCGCUGUUCCUCAUGUCCCCACGAGUUUUAACGUGCGAGAUGCGACUUCCGUUUACACGUGGCAAGCGGAGGUUGACACACGCCGCGUGCGGGUUCGAGUUCCCGCCUCCGCACGAAACCGGAAAGGGCGGAUGCGCUCACACGUGCCGAAGCAGAGCCGGUUCACGCAUCGGAUGAGAAGUUGAGAACACACCCCGGUGAGAAUACGCGAAUGAUGACCCCCUUCCAAAUAAUGAAAUAAACCAUUUACAUCUCGUGGAUUUUGUGCAGCUUGAAACAGAAAUUCCAGUUAAAUUUAUCUUAAAAAAUAUACAUAAUUUCUGAAUUAUAGAUUAUUUUAAAUUUAUUAUUUUAUUUUUUAAUGUUUUGAUGUUGCUAUCGAAUCAUAGUUGAUUCAUAUUUUCAGCUAAAUUUAUUUCUAAAUAAAAUAAACGAAGCGGAUAGCAUGCUACCUAUCUCUCUCUCAAAAAAAAAAAUAAAUGUGUUAUUUUUAUUUCAUUGACUAUAUAUCAAUUAAAGCAAGAAAUUAGUUUUAAUUUUUAAGUCAAAAUUAUGGCCGACUGACUCAAAAUAAGCAAAUAAAAAGAUUAAAUAGUAAAAUUAAACUUUUAAAUAAUUUUAUAAUAAUUUUAAAAUAAUUUAUAAUUCAGAUAAAUUUUAUAUAUUUUUAUUUUAAAUUUAAAAUCAGAUCAAAUCCUGAGAGGUAAGUAUGUAUACCGCGCAUGUUCGGAUCCAAACUCCACAAAUAAAUAAGCGGGAAUAGUGAUAGGUCCCCGCCCCCUUUCUCUCUCUGUUGCUUAAUUCAUAUCCAGUUCGAAGUUUGUGAGCGCUGUAAGUAAUAGAUAAGAUGGUGGUGCGGAUGGUGUACGGUUUGGCAUUCAUUUCUGUCUCCUGCGCCUUCUUGAAGCUCCUCCAUCUUUUCCUUAUCCCGAUAUUCUACUUCACUUCGUAAGGCGGAUAGAUAUGACUGUGGGAGGAGUCUUUCCCCUUUCACCCUUUUUUUUUUUUUUAUUUGGGGUCGGUUGAGAUUUUUGUUUUUUACUGGGUGUUUGCUUGGUUCAAUGUAAAAUUUUUUUGCGCAAAAAAAAAAAAUCGUUGUAUUUUGUAGUACUUGAAUUGUUGGAAAAAAAAAGUUUUUCAUUGAAAUUUGUUUUGUUGAAAAAAAAAAUCUACAUUUGUUUGAUUUCGUAGAAAAAAUAAAUAAAAAUAUUUUAUACAGCUUGAGUUUUUAUUUUUCUGCUAAAAAAUAAUAACAAAUGAGAACUUUAAUUAAUUUUUCUCUAAGUCCGUAAAAUCUUUUUUACAGAAAUAUGUUUUUAUGUCGAACCAAACAAGUGAAAAAUUAGUUUUUAUGCUGAUAAUAAAUUUUUAGUUCAUUUUACGUAGAAACCAAACACCCUCUUAUCGUUUCAUUCAGGCUGGAGCUGGAGUGGGUUGAGACAGAAGCGCGCUUUUGCAGCUCUGCUACAUUUUUGGCGGGUUCGGCCCAUGCCUUCUACUUUAUUUUCUUAACAGAGGGAAUCUAUUUUUCUUACUUUUGCCCUUCACUUCGCACGAGGUGCGGGGGCUUUAUCAACCCGGAUCCAUUUUCAUCCUUAGUUUGCAGCAGCAGUUGUGAAAAAUGAUGUGUAUUCAAUGGAAAAUAGUAUGAGAAACUUAGGAGGUGUUACUCUCUAUGGAGAUGAGAAUAGAGGGGAAAAUAUAAGAAAAGGAGAGUAUGUCUUGUUAUUUGCUUUUCUAUUUUUUUUUUUUUUCCAUCGUUGUAAUAAACCAUGAAUUGCAAAGCGGGGGAACGAUUUUAAAUUGAGUUUUCCAGUGUGAUUUGGGUUUUGGUUGAUUGGUUUGUGUUUUCGUCGGUAAAUUCUAAUGUUUCUAUUAUAUAAAAAUAAAGUUUUAAACUCUUUAUGCACAGAGGGUCCAUAGCUCAGUGGUAGAGCAAUUGACUGCAGAUCAAUAGGUCACCGGUUCGAACCCGGUUGGGCCCUUUUAUUAUUAUUUUAAAAUUUCAUUUUGACUAGUUCUUAUUUUUAAAUAAUUUUAUUAGUGAAUUAAAUUUGAAAAACUUAUCAAUUUUAAAUGGCGUAGAGUUUGAGCAAUAUUUGUACAUUUUUACAUAUUAUUCAUUUUCAUUUUUUUACCCUUCAAUACGAUACUUAUUAAAUAAAACGAUAUGAUAAAUACAGUCAUUUUUAUGAAAACAUCACCAAAGCUAUCAAUCUUGAUCUAAUCCAGUAAUUAUAAUCUAGAAUAGUUGUUGAUCACUUUGGAAGUAUUUUUUAGAAGUCCCAAGUUCAUACCAAGAUGAUAAAAUUUGGUAAAAUUUAAAAUUUUCUACUCUGUUUCACACAUGCACACACAAAUUUAUUCAUAAAGUUUAGUAAUAUUUCAUAUCAACUUUAGCUAUGUUGAAUAUAAUUAUUAAAAAAUAACCUUAUAUAGCGACUUAAACUUUUAAAAAUUAACAAUUAUUUCAAAUUUUAGAUAAUUUAAUAUAGUAUCAAUAUUAGAGAUUCUUAGUUCCUGUUCCAUCAGAUUUUAAAGUAUUUAAUUUAAGUUCAUGAAAAUACUAUCUUGGGGGCAAUCUCUUUUAUUUUUAACUUUUCAAUUUAUCUCUACUUGCACGAAGGGCCGAAAAAAUAGUUUUACCUCAAACUAAAUAACUUACGCUUAGUUUGGUAUUAAAGCCUAUCUGACGUUAUUAAAUAAAAUAGAGUUAGAAUAAAAGUAUAUUUGAAAUAUAUUUCUACAUUUAUUGAUAGGGUCACAAAAAAUACAUCAUAAUAAACUCAUCGUAAUAUACAAAACACAAUAUUAUAUAUAAAAAUAAAUAAAAUAUUUUAUUAUCGUAUUUUUUAACGGCAUGUAAUGUAGUCUCUCCGAAAUCCCAAUCUAAGCAUCAAAAAAGAAUUUUCGGAAUGAGACUUACGUUUCCGUAUAUUUACGUGGAUCCAAACUCCCCCUAAAAAAUCCAAAACUCAUCUCUCUUGCCGCCCAUUUUUCUCUCUUCUUCCCACUCAAACCCCUCUCUCUCUCUCUCUCUCUCUCUCUCUCGCUUUUGCUCUCGCCCCGACCCUUCCUUGUCGUCGCCCCUCUCCAUCCCUCUCGCUCGGCGUGGACUCGUCACGUCGUCUUCCUUCCCCAUUUCGAUCGGGAAUCAGAGCUCGAUCUUAAGUUCCUCUUCGAUCGGUGGUGGUAAGGAUUAGGGUUCUAGCGUUUACUAUUUGCCUUUUUUUUUUUUGAAAAAUUAAUUUAGAUGGAAAUAUUCGCAAGUAUAUUUCAUGCUGUGAUGCUAGAGAUUUUCUUUUCAGGAAUUUGCUAGUUUAUAGUUUCAUCUUAAGAUUCGUUCUUAGUUUUAGGGAGUAAAUCCAAGUUGUAUGCUUCCUUUACAGUAUUUAGGUAGCCGAAUCGAAACCCUAAUUAGUAGUUGAUUUGAUAUAGACGGCUGUAGAAGGUGAACGAUUUCACCACGCUGGUAAUCGGUGUGAACCCUGUUUUAUUCAGUGUAGAAACACUGCAAUGUGUUUUUUAGUGACCGGUGAAACUGCGACCUGUAUUCGUAGUUCAAUUUCCGCAUAUUGUGGACUGACAUACAAAAAUGAUUGUUAAGUACUGAUGCUAAAAUUGUAUGGAGCUGGUAUGGGACACCAUUUACCCUAUUUGUUUCAGAAACUUGAUAAAUUCCAUUGUUUCAUAAUGAGAAAUACUGAUCACAUAUUAUAAUGUAGGUUUGUUUACUUUGUUUGUACAAAUUUAUGAAGCAUCUUUACAAAUUUAUUAGCUUUACAAUCCAAUACUUUCUUAUAUAAUCUCAUGUUUUCUUGAUGAAUGGUGUUUGCCUCUUUGUAAAGCUCUAUGUUUUCUUGGUGUAUGAGAUUUCCCUGUAACGAAACUAUAUAUUGAAAGAUUAGCUAAUUGAAAUGCACCACGUAUGACUUAAAAAUAAAAGUAAGUUGUCUGCGAUGCAGAACCUUCUGAUUUAAUUCUCAAAUCUUGAUCCUGCUCGAUUUAGGGUUUGUUGGUGUUCUUUGAUUGCUAUAGUUUAUUACUGCUCAUAUUGUUGAUUUGAUACAACAAGAGAUUGAGGCUAUCAAUUGUGAAUUCUUAUUGCAUUGGGUGUUUACUAUAGGAGGAGAGUGUUACUUGUCAAAGGGGGAGAGAGAGAGAUGCUGUCAUAGGAGCUGGAUAUUAUGGCAAAAGCUGCUGUUCUUGAAUCUUCUGCAACUCAACAGUUUUUCUUUCGGGAAACUUAAAUCAGAUGUGAAAAUGAAGAGGAAGACCCCGUCGGAGCUAAGAGUAAAACUCUAUCGUCUUUGCUUUCAUUUACAUACUCCUAUUGGCAUAUGUGAUUCAUUAAUUUUCUAUAGUGCAACACAAUUUAUGUAGUCCUACCCACUUUGAGAUGAAAUAUUUUUCUCAUCUAGAUUUUUUAUGCUACUAAGGAACCAAUUCUUUGGUAUAGAGCAUUAUAAUUUUUGAAUUUAAAGGCUGGAAUUAUUUAGUCAUUGUAGAUGUUAAAAUUUAGGCAACUUUAUACUUGUGAUUUUACUGCGAUCCAUCUUAGCCAUUAAUAUCAUUACUUGUUAGAGUUUUUACUAAAGAAGAUUAUGUGAAAGUUUUAUUUAAAAUAUUAAGGACCUGCACACAAAAAUUUUGUUUUGACUUGCUGAUGUUUUGACUUGCUGAAUUUGCAUUCAGAUCAAUUUUUUGGAGUGCUGCUCCUAGCAUUAUAUAUUUCAGCUUAAGAGACUACAGUCAAAGUUAUAUUAUUGUACGAGAUUGAGUAUUUUAAUACUGACAGGCUAUACAAACAGUGUAAUAGUGGUAAAAUAGUGAACAAAUAAUGUGUGCUACCAUUUCUUUGUAACAUCUGGGAUGGCAUUAGUAAGACCAGUUGAUCUGGCUAUCUUUUGGGUUUUGAGUGUGAGUGAGAAGACUUUGGUUUAAGCUCACAGAAGUUGCAGGAGAGAAGCAACAAUCUGCUGAAAUUAGCAAUACAACAACUAUUUGCAUUGAUAGGAAAAGUUUGUCAAUGCAAUUUAUAUAUUGAACUCAGCUAAUGAAACAAGGUUAAUUAUUCUGUUCAUUUGCUAGCAUAAAAGGUGUAUGUCUUAAGCAUUUAUUUAUAGGUCGGGAUGGGAAGGCAAAGAGGUCUUUCACGGGUUUCAUUAAAGUUGAUUUUCAUAUAAAUUUUUCUAUUGUAGGGAGAGCAGUUGAAGCGAAGGACCCAUGAAUUGCUUGUUAAUGAGGAAUUGCCACCUCUACAGGACUAUGAUAGGUAGCAUUUGCUAAUGCUUAUAAUUCUUUUGUUUAUUUGGUUUCUGACUGCUGUUGUACUUGCAGGGCUGAUAAUAGGACUGCUGAUGGUCCCAAGAAAGCUGAGCACCUGAAGAUUCCAAAGUACAUUAAUACUCGUAUGGUCGAUGUAUAUCCUAUCAAAAAGUCAAGUGAGAGGUGCAGAGUACUAUUUGGAAAAGAAAACGUGAAGGUCCAAAAUGUUAUGACUCGGCAUAUUUGCUCUUCUUUAAUUCAACUUAAUUAUCGUAAACAUAUGUAAGACAUGCGGUGCUGAGGUCCAAAUAUUCUUUCUUCGAAGGCUCUUACUAAACUGCUUUGAUUUUACUCCUUUAAAGCAGGAUCAUUCAACUGCUUGUGCAAAACCUGGCGACCUUAGUAAUGCUACUAUUGCUUGUAGCUUUUCAACGAAGGCUACAUCAUUUCCAUGGUACUACACUAAUAGAUUCACAACCUCAAUAUGUAUGACUGCAGUUAAUAUUGUUUUUUGCUACUUUGCUAAUCUUUGUUUGUGUUCAAUCUAGCGGUGAUGGAGUCACUGCUGACAGUUUGGAACCUUCUGACCCAUCUGUUAGAAAUAUCGCUGGUGAUGGUUUUCAGAAGAUUGAUAAAUGUAGCCAGAAUCCUUUGCGCAGUGUUGUUGAGCUCCAUGUUGGAAACGAGAAGUUGGUUGAUUCUGCCAAACUUGAUAUGGUAGUGCUACUUUUAGCCAUACCACCUUAUUUGUCAUUUCAGUGGUUUAAGCUUACUUCAAUAAUUUUGAUAGGAAAAAGCACUUAAAGGAUUGGUAGCUCGUGAUGUUCCUUCCACUUCUUCACUGGCUGAUUCUUCUCGAAGACUUGUUGAUGUUCCUUCUAUCUCUUCAGAUGUCUAUCCCUCCGAAAUUCACAUACCAGGGGAUAAAGUUCCUUUGGAUUUUACCUUAAAAACUUCCUUAAGAUUAGUCUCAUCGUCUUCAGUGAAGUGGUGAGUACUAUUGAUUAUUUUUUAAAUCUCAAAUUUUGGUAGUCAUUAUUGCCCGGUUUGCUAGAAAAGUGAUAAGAUGGCUGAUUAAAUUUACAAGUACACAUGCUGGCAAUUUGAACAGACACUCUAUUGACCAUGUAGGAAAAAUUGGAUUAUAGUCAUUCCAAAUAGUUUAGCUAGAAUGUAACACCUAAACUUCUUUUCCUUCCAUUUCAUGUAAACGUACCUCUAAAGAUAAUAGAGAGAGAGUCUAAAUGACCUAUUUUUGUGGGGUAAUAACAUUUAAUUUUUGUCCUCCCUUUUUGCUAAUAUUACAAGAUGCAUGGCAAUUCUUCUAGUUCAAUAAUAGAAGUAGCACCGAUUUGUAGCUUCCAUGCUAACUUCUGACAAUGAAGUUUACUUUUUAGCUAGUUUUAUAUACUAAAAUAAAUCAGACUGAUGCGACCAUGUUAAAUUCUUUUACAUUAGGUUCCACAAGGUAAGGGCAAGCUUUUCUACAGCAGGGAUUAACAGGUUGACUUCUCAGUGUUGUAGCAAGAGCCAAAGUUUUGGCUGCACGUCUGGUACCAAUGUGCCGAGCGAGCAAUUUUCAAAGGCUUUAUAUUCAUGGGUUUACCCUCAAUCUUCUUUGCCUCCUUCCAUCAUAUCAGCUAUGGCUUCAUCAAGUAUAAAGGGAGGUAUUUAUGCUCACCCCCCUGUUAUUUGUUCAAAAUAUUAGCUUGGUGGAACUAGGUUGUAAAUAACUCUGUUUUUUUUUUCUUUUUGCUAAUUCACAGAAACAGACUUUUUGCAGAAAAGGCAGCAUGACUGGGAAGAUUCAUUUUGCAAUCUUUACUAUAUGCUAAGAAAGAACAAGUCUACUAUGUUUUAUGGUAAUCCCUCGCAUCUCUAUGAUGUACCUUUGCUAAAUUAUCUUGACAACAUCUUUAGACGUCUGAUGAGUGGAUCUGCUAUCUUUAACUCUUGAAUAUGUUCAAGUUCACUUCUACGCAUGUAUAUAUCUUGUUUUCCCAUUUUAGCAGACUGGAUGUUUGAUUUUGGUUCUAAAAUUUCACCUUGUGAAUGAUAUCAUGUGUACUCUGUUUUUACAGUUUUCUCAUGAUAACAUAUGUUUAAAUUCAUGUCUAUUGGCUUGUGAUGUUAUUAAUUUGAACAAAUUUUCUGCUUAAGUCAUAUUUUGAAUUUUCUCUGAGCAAGUGUACUAUUGACAAGCAAAGGAGUAUAUUGGCCAUCUUUUUUUGUCAGCCUUGAAAUUGCAACGAACUAAAACUUCAACACAUAUCCUCCCGAAGCUUACUAUUUUAAGUUUUCUGCUGCCACUGGGUGGCUGCUGUAAAAACACUGCCUGGGCCUCCCAUGGGGUCGUGUAGAAAGUAGAAAGUAGAAAAUUGUCUUAGCCGGCAGUACCUUAAUUAGUCGCAACUCUGACUUCUCUAACGUGCACCAAAUGCUGGGAGGCAGGACAUUACAUUACAUCGUGAGUUCAGCUCCUAGUUUGAGCAAACCAAAUAGGCCCUAACAAUAGUAGCAACCAUCGUUACUUCAUGUUGGGUACAGUAAUUCAUGCUAAGAGAUAUGGAGAUAUUUAGAACAAAGUGAAACUAAUGCAAAGGGUAGAAUUUUCAUUUUAGUGGAAAAGAGUUCUGCUUAGAUGUAAAUUAAUGUUAGGCAUUCGUAUUUUUGUUUGUGAAUUAUUGCACUUGUGGGUAUCUAUGUUCCAUUAUAGGCUCGUAAUAUCUUUGCAUUUUCAUACUGUGCAAUUAUGAGGGUCCCUCUUAAAGCAUGCCUGUUUCUAUAUUUUGUUAUCAAUUUAUAUAGAAUGUUACUGGUGACCGUCCUCGAGACAAAUGAUCUUAUUCAUAUCUGUCAAUUUAAAAUGAUAUAUGAAUUAUUGCAUUCAAGCUAUUAACAUCAUUGUGAUUGUUAGAUUUUAUGGAAAAAAAUAAGCAAGAUGGUUUAAUGUUGCAAAUUUUAGUGUUUUGUUUAUUUUAUCUAGUAUUAGUAUUAAAGUUCUUGUUGUUGGUAGUUAAUUUGUAUACUCAAGGUUACCUGAUAAUUUGCAGUUUAUACAUCACAAUUUGUGGUUCUUUUCAUUGGUGGGGUCUUUUUGGGUAAGAAACAAUCAUGUAAUGCUUACUUGUCACAAUCAACUCGUGGUUUGCGGUCCUUGCUCAAAAAACAUGUAAGUUGUUUCACUAGUUUUUCUUUUUUGCAAACUUCUACACUUUUCCUUAGAUUUGCAAUUUAAAUGCAGAACAAAGAAAUAUGGAGGUUGAUGUGGGACAUAUUGUCGCAUCCAGCUUAAUUACUUUAAUCCUGUAUCUGCUAGUGAUAUUAACAAACAUAUAGUCGUGAUCCGCACCUUCCAAUCGAACCCAAUGUGACAUAGUCACACCAUAGGCAACCAAGAGAAAUGCCUUAACCAAACUUGAUUAGUAUAUUGGAAUCAAUCGUAGAUUGCUAGUUUUGAAGCCUUGAUGGGGAUAGAAAGUUAAACAAUUAGGAUACUGCUGAUAGGGGAUGCUGUUCAAAGGUAGCGAAAAAGAGAUCACUGCUAAUGAAUGCUAACGACAAUGAUAGACGUAGAAUAUGAUGAUUUGAACUAUUGAAGAAGUAAAAUAAUUGAGCAUUUGUUGGUGAAUUGAUCGCGUAUAAUAUGAACAAGGGUAACAAAUGGAUGGAUUGGCUGAGCGGUAUUUGUAAUGGAGAUUUGACCCUUAUGGCAAAUUCGUGAAAAUUUGAAGGCUUCUCAAUAUUGUUUGUACAACAGGACUAAUCUCCCCUUUAUUUAUGAUUACCUUCAGGAAGAGGUAAAAAUAAUUAAACCAGAGUAGAAUUAUGGUAAAUCAUCAACAUAUCAAAUGUUGUCCCUACAAUUAUAGAUGGUGAUAGCAUUCUUCUCUUCUUUUGCUGUGGGCUUAUCAACCAGUCUACGGAGGGCAAUAUAAAGGAAAAGUUACCUUCUAAACAACUGGGCAGAAGGUGAUGGGCCUACUUUCCUGUAAGAUUUGAGCUAGACUCUAAUUAACCAAAUCCAAUAGGCCUAUUUAUCUUGCAAUUUAGAUGGCUACAAUAGCUAGAGGAGGCAGAGUUCUGUCAGAACUUAAGUGGUGUUCAUUCAUUAGCCUAUGUGAGGAUUCUAAUAGUAAUAAAUAUAUGAUAAUUUUUAGCUGGCUUUUCAAGAUAACUUAUCUGAUUAUUUUACCUUUGCAAUCCUACUGGUAGGAUAUUUGUUUCUCAAUGCCUCUUUGUCGUGCUGAAGUUGAGCAAGCUAGCGAAGAUGACUUGGUUGAAUUAUCUGAAAUUGAGAAGCGUAACCUAGGCCAGGUUUGAAUAAUACUCAAACCUUUCUCUGUUAACAUUACCAGACUUCUACUAUCUAGGAUUUUGAUGAUCUGGAACCUACAAAUGCAGGCGUUCCUAUCAGACUCUUUCUCUGAUAUAGACAAUACGCCUCAAUCUCUCCUGUCAUUUAUUGGAAAUGAGAGUGUCCAUGGUUUAUACGACUUUUUAUUAAACUAUAGGUAAGUGAGCUUGUUAAAUGUUCAUUUAGGAUAUUGAUAUCUGGUACACGAUCUAAUUUCUUUUUGUUUCCUUUUGCAGGUUCUUUCUUAGCUCCUUUAGUGGUGUGGAUGUUCCUGUACUCUACUCCCCUGUACCAUUCCAAAAUGCUUGUUUUUUUAUUCCAGAGGUUUGUUUCUUAGGUUUUUACUUCUUUCGGCCCGUACUUUGUUGUCUGAACUAGGAUUUGAUCCUAGUCUCCAUUUUUUUUUUUUAUUAUUUCUGUUGAAUCGCCUUGUAUCAACAUUGUUCUGCUAAUGAACUAUGUCUUGUAAUAGUUUUAUUGUUAGAUUGAGAGAAUUUCAUCACCUGUGUUUUCCUGUAGGUGAGAUGCAAGGAGAUGAGGAAAGCCAACAUGGUUGUUCCCUCUUCAAGGGGGUCUGAAUCAGAAGAACAAACCGAAGCUAUUCUUGGUUCUUCUGGCAAUGGUAUUUGCUAUAGUAUCGAGAUAAAGGAUACUAUUCUUCCCCCAUGGAUUGUUAGCGGAGUCUGUGCUACAAUGAGCUCGGAUGGAAGGAGUUUUGACUCUGUGUAUGCGACAUAACAAUUCUUCCCUUUACUAAAUUCUACAUCUGCAUAUUGUAGUUUUGGAAAAGUUUUGAAAAGCCCCCUCUGGUUUGCAAUUUAUUAUCCCUCGGUGCAAAGUGUGGCCAUUUGCUCCACUGAUUGUUGCUUAAUCUUCUAUUGCAACUCCUUAAAAGUGAACACAUGGCAAUCGCUAGUUUCUGUAAAAUGCUGAAAGUAUAGGAAUCUCCAUGUUUAGCCAUUGUCCUUUUCACCACCCCGGGGUUUAACAGCAUAGUGCAUUGCUGCCCUUUUUGAUUGCAUUGUUCUUUUUGGAAAACUGAAGCAAGAAUCACAGGAGAACAAGGUGCUACACUUUGAAUCACAGGGUGAUUAAUUAGAAAUGUGCUCGGGAGUCUUUUUUGCUUGAAGUUUUCCCUUUUAUUUAUCUUUUGAAUAACUUGGGGCUUUUGCAGCUUUUCGACAGAGCCUUCAUCAGUUGGCUUAAAUGUUGCCAUGGACUCUUUCUGCAAGAAAUCUGAAUCAGAUAAGCAUCUUUCAGAGAGCUGUGAUGCCUUCGGCAUUUCUGAAACAACACUGGUGCCGUCAUUGCGCUCUGUAUCAGUACGACGCCUCAAGUAUGCCGAUGGUGCUUACGUAGCUUUCACAACUGUGUAAGUUCUUGUGACCUUUACAGGUGUAGCUCAGAAGGAAAAAAGUGGAUAUAGCGGAGCUUUGUGGCGGCAUAUGGGUUUCCACAUCAACUGUACGCUCUUUGGAUCGAUUUAUCUUGUUGGUAAUUCAAAACUUAAAUGAAAGACAUCCAUAUUACGACUGAGAUGUCCUGUUAUGACUGUCAUUAUAAGAAAUUUUGGUCAUCGUUUUUUUGGCGUCUUGGCGGGGGCUUAUGGGGGUAGGGCAUGGGAAAACAACGUUAGAGCUAAUAUGCUCCUUUGUUUUUUUGGUUUGUUUUUGGCUCGAGUAGCUGUUUAGGUCCUAUAUGCUUGCUUUGUUGUGUCCCAGUUGAAUUUUUUUUAUAAAUAAUCCUAUUGAUUUUUAUAAUUAUAAAAAUAUUUUUUUUUAAAAAUAAUUAUAAAAAUAGAUCUUUAAAUGCAGUGAAUUAUUCACAAUAUAGAAAGAAGUGAGAAAAAAAAAAGGAAGCGGUGAAUGGUUCAUCGCUUUUAAAAACGGUGAAUAAUUCACUAUUUUUUUAGGACUAUAUUUAUAAAUAAAAAUUUAACAGGUUUAUUAGGUUUAUUUUUAGAAUAAAAUUUUAUGAGAAGGCUAUUGUACUAAAAAAUCUGUCCUAGUUUAUAUAUUUGUUAUUAUUAUUUUUAUUUAUUUUAAUAUUUAUAUUUAGCCUUGUAUGCUUCAUGGCGCCUUACAGUUUUAUGCACAUUAUUAUUAUUAUUAUUAUUUUUAUUGUGAAGAUUUAUAUCUUCAACUGAACGAAUGCUUCGAAGGGCUUUGAGAGUGUUUAAACUAUAUUGAUAAAGCCUCAUCAGCUAAAAUGGCUCUAUCAUUUGCCAAAGAUCACACGUCAAGUACAGAAAAAAUUCAUUUUUACAAAAUUUAGAAGCGCAUUAAAAUUUUGCGUGCGUCCAUGAGUUCUGUUAGACACCAUUUUAUAAUUUGACACGAAAAAUAGGUAAAUUUUUCUCUUGUUUACUCUUUCGAAGUCUUGGAAAAGAGAGAGAGAGAGAGAGAGAGAGAGAGAGAAGAGAUCACAAACAAAAUACAAUUGGAGUGCAGGAGUAAUUUAUAUUACACAGUCAAAUUUUCAUGACUCGUUUCCUAAUACCUAAAAUUCAAAGGAAUCAAAUAACAACAAAUGUUUAUCUAUACAAAAGCUAUGACCCUCUCAUAGACCAUGAGAAAGCUCUCCAAGCAUGAUCAACAAAUACCAUCGGAAACAUAAUCCCCUAAAAAACAAAAGUGGAAAAAGAAAAAGAGAAAAAGAAAACAAUGCAAACCACAAAAUGAAUGCAUCUCCCAAUACAACGACACACUCUGAACGGAUAUCCUUUUUUGAUUUAUAUUAAUGGUAUUAUCUGCUUCAGAAGAUAGAGAAACAGCGAGUUAACACAGUCAUCCUCGUGCUCGUGUGAGGAACUUCCGCUGGCUCCCCUGAUUGGACUUGUCUAAAAGCAGCAGUAACCCGACAUUGCUAUUCGACAAGCCACAAGGGUAUCUACAUCGAGGUGCUUUCUUCCUCCACAAUGUAAAAGAAAAGACCCACUGCAAAAAAAAAGGGGGAAAAAUAAGGGAAACAAGAAGCACUUCUGAAGUACAAUGAAUUAUCCAUAUAGAAUAUUAUGAAAGUUUGAUAACUAGCUUGAAUACGAGGCUGUCAUCGACACUGAGAUAGACUAGCAAGUCAAAGAAACCAACCUCAUGUAACCGCUCAAAGAGCCUUCAAAGAACUAUCUUCAAAUUUUAGUAAUUAAAUUCACUGAACACGGUAAAAGAACUGAUUCAAGAGUACAAAAUCUUGUAGGCUAGCAUUAACCAUCAGACCAAGAGAUUGCUAUUAUAUCAGAUCUGAUUAGUUUAGUUAGCAUAUUGAAUAAUCAAACAGUUGGGCAGUGAAGAAACAGAGUACACAAAAAGAGAAUCUAUUAUCACAUGGCCUGGCCAACUUACUCCAUGAAAAGAAUCCCAAUGGUCCUAUUGUUUGAGAAAACAAAUGAAAAAGUGGACACCUUGUAACCACGAAUUAACACCAAUGGAAACAUGGUAUUGAAGCGUUCAAAGUACAAAAGAACAGAUAAGAAGCUAAGAGCCCAAGGACUUAUCCAUGUGUAGAGAUAAAAGCAACUUGCUGAUGCAUGCUCUUCUCUAUACAAUUUGAACGCAAUACAACAGAUGAAAGAAAGAGUAUUCCCUAAUUUCCAUCUAUUCAGAAACAAUGGUAAGCUAAUCCACAUGGAAUUUUGACCUAAGACAGAAAUAUAAAGAUGUGACAAUUAAAAAUAAAUUGACCAUACAAUCAAACAAAAUAUCUCUCUGUCACAAAAAUGUAGAGGAUUCUAAAAAUUGAUAACUCCUCAAGGCUGAAAUAAAAUAUAAACCCUCCAAAAAAAGUAAACAAAAAGAUAACACACCACAAUCAGAAGGUGCAUAGGCAUGAGAAAGCGUUUGAAGAGUACAGUUUGGUUUCAACUGCACUAAAACUGUGGAGUGGUUUUCUCCUAAACUUCAAUUUUCUUUCUAAUUGCCUUUCUUCAAAUCUACUCUAGCUGCCACAAAUUAACAAGUUGGAUUAUCAGAAUAAUUUCCUUCACCAAGCCAAAUUAACAUCAUUCAAUGAAUUUCUCACUAGUAAAGAAAACUUAAAGUUUCAUCAGACAUUGGCAACACAAGUACAGUAAUUUGACUUACUGAUCAAUGGUAGCAACACGUAUCUAAAAUCUAUGAGAGUUUGAAAGAAGGUUCAGCUUUGGAUAUUCGAGUUUGAGCUUGUCUGUGGCUGGAAUAUUGAAACCAUCAAAGUGAAAACUCAUUUACCAGAAAUUAGUGAAUUCAAUUAGACUCAAAAACUCUCUCUGAGCAAUGUAUGAUCCUAAAAACAAUGAGAUUCCGACAGCCUUUAGUAUUUGGACAUCAUAUAAUUCAAACUAACAAUGUCAAUCAGAGACAUCAUAUAAUUCAAACUAACAAUGUCAAUCAGAGAAAAGGACAUGACAAUCGUCAAAGUUAUGUAGAACAAUGCUUAACUUAUUAUAAGAACAAAUAUGCUCAAGAAAUGUAAUCCUUCUAUUGACAACACUGCAAGAAAAUUAGUUGGCAGAGAGUAGUGAAAAUAUGAAGACACCAAUCACUAUUCGAAAAUCAAAGGUAACAAAAAGUGCACGCCAGCCAUUUAAUCUAUGAACACAGCUAUAUAUUUAGUGGAAGAGAGCAAGAAUAAAGAUUAUAAAUCAGUUAUUAAAAGAGAAAUACGCAACCAUAUAAACAGAACAUAUACAUUGCAAAGCCUUAGAAUAAGGUUGGAAGUAUUUCGUUCGAUAUCUACUGAGUGCUACUUAACUGCAUAGUAUUUCUCCGUAGCAAAAUGCCAUUAGAUAUUGACCUUUAAACACGAAUUUGUUACCAUUAACUCUCGAAACGAAACAAGACCUUCCUUGUGCAUUCCCAGCCAAUUCAAACUUAUAUACUCAAACAACAAAUUAAAGAGAUGCAAUUACCCAAUAAAUUACCUUAAAUACUGCUAUGAUCGGGAAGCUCUCGAUGAAAGAUUUCUUCUUCACAAUCCUCCUCUCCGGGGACGGUAUCACCUCCUUCGAAAGCUGCUGAGCGAUCUCCUUAAGCAACACUAGCUGGGCCUUCUCCGUCCUCAUCGAGAUGAUGGCCUGUCUCAUUGACUCCCUAUCAGCCUCUAAUACCUCCAACCUCAUAUAAAGCUUCUUUAUAUCAGUCUCCCCUUCUUUCUCCCAUCCCUUCCCCUUCGCCGUUGGUGAUCCUGAGUACUCUUCCGAAACCCCGGCGGUCGGAUUACUAUGCACGGUAUCAAUCGUGUACACCCGAUCGCUCACAUCAUCAUCAUCAUCAUCAUCGCCUGGCUCAUCCGACGGCCGGUCCACCAUCACGGGGAACUCCUCCACCUUUCUGAAGUCCUGCCUAGUAUCGCCGUCGAGCGACUGCUCGACGACGCCCUUCUCCUCCAUCACAAUGCUGCUGUGCGGCGAUUCUUUCUCCAGCUGGAGGAUCCGCUGCUCCAAAUCCCGUAAAGAUUCCGGCUCCGGUUUCUCGAGAUUGGCCGCGUCGAGGCGGUCGCCCUCAUCAUCAUCCUUGCGAUCCCGAUCGCCGACGCUGCCGCCGGGGAUGGUGCACCUGAGCGGAGGGUAGUCAUAGAACGGAGAGUUAAGGUCUUCGAACAGGUGGUUCGCGGUAGCGGCAUCGGCGUCGGGGGUUAAGAGGACGUCGCCGUAUUCGGCGUCGAGAUCGGGCGGAGCGAUCGCGAUGCCCUCUCGGAGGAGGCGGUAGCGAUAGGCUUCGAUUUGGGAGGAGAGGGAUUGGAUGGCGUGAUCACGCUUGAAGAGGAGGUCCUCCAGGGUGGCGAUCUCCUGCUGGUCGUGGGCCAUCUUCUCCUCCGCGAAGCGCUUGAACUGCCGCCCCUCCAUCUGCGCCUCCGCCUUCUCCCGCUGCAGCCGCAGGAUCAUCGACAUCGCCUCGCUCGCCGCCGACGCCGACGCGCUCCGCUCCUCCUCCAGCUCCGCGCACAGCCGCUGGAUCGUCUCCUGCUGCCCCGCCACCGCCUCCCGGAGCGCCGCCACCUCGUUCUCCACCUCCACCCGCACCACCUCCCCCGCCGCCGCGUCCGGCUCGGCCUUGCGCUUCACGGAUCGGCGCCAUUCGGAGGGGCCGGAGCAGCAGUAGGGGCAGGCGCAGGGGCACGGGGCCGCCCUCGGGGCCACGGCCUCCAUGGAUCGUCUCCGUGUCGACGUUACCCUCCAAACUCGGAUCUCGGGAGCUUCCUCCCCUUCACCAUCGAUCGGACUCGCCGAGAGGGGAGGAUGAACAAGACGAAGGGAUUUGGGGUUCGGAUUGGGAGGGAAAUUCGGGGGAUGGGGCGGGGGAAUAAAAAAAUCUAGGGUUUCGAAACCCUAGAUUUCUCUCUCUUUUCCUUUUUUCUUUUUUUUUUUUUUUUUAACCCUGGUCCCUCUCUUCGUUCGAAAAAAGUUCGCUAUCCAAUGAACAGUGAGAAAUGGACAAAGAGAAAAAGAGCGAAAGAGAGGAAUAAAAUAGCGAUUAGCGAACAGCGAAGAGGUGGGAGGGUGGUCAGUGGUCGCGUCGCGGGGUUGGGUUCGUCAAAAGCACGACCGAGCCACGUGCUCAUGAUUACUUUUUUUAUUAUUAUUAUUAUUAUUUUUUAUCAUUUAUUUUUUAUAACUUAUUUUGCCAUGAUGGUGCAGAUAUUUUCUUAAUUUUAUUUUGCUUUGAUUUAUCUGGAAAUACCUAAUAAAAUUUUCCAGAUCUAAUAAAUUUAGGAUUUGAAUCAGAAACUUCGGACAUACGAGAGAAUUAGCGACUUUCUCUUAAUUUUUCACUCAUCGCUUUGAGAAAGUUUUUCUAAUUUUAUGAUCUUAAGUUGAAGCUAAAAUAAGAGUUGAACUUGGUCAUUUUUUCGCUUUGUUUUAAUAAAAAAUUUUAAAUUUAUGUUUAACGUGUAAAUUUAUUAGAGAUUUGAAAUAAAAAAAGUUAUUUAAAAGGCCAACCAAAUCCAAAGAGCAUUUGAGGGAGACAAAAGUUUUCAAAAACCAAAAAUAACAAAGCCUAGGUAGGAAUAAGAUGCUAAUUUAACUCCAAAAUGGGAAAAAAAUAUUAUUAUUAAGUUAAUUAACAAAAGAGUUACUCAAAAAAAGAGGAGAAAGAGUCAAGGUAAUAAGAUUAAGGGGCAAUUUCAGCAAUAGCCCUCUUAAACAUGUAAAUAUCGUAAAUACCCCUAUAAAAUUAAAAAUAUCAUAUAUGCCCCUUCAAAUGUAGAAAAUUAUCACAGUUAUCCUUUCUUCUAACUGACGUUAGGGUAAAAUUGUAAAAUGACUAAUUUACCCCUUAAAAAGUUGGUUGGGUUGUUCUUUUGAUAAGAGAUAAUAAAAGAGUAAUUUCAUGAAUACCCUUAAACUUUUAAAAAUAAUAUUUUUAACACUAAUUAUUGGUGAAUAAAAUAUGUGGAAACCCCUCACCUAUAGAUCAUUUUGAAAUGAACCCCCUUAACUUCAAUUUUAUAACAUUAAGUGCCCUUGAACUUUUAGAGUUUUUUUGUUUUUGUGUUUUACUUAGUUAAAAGUUUUUCAAUUGAGAUCCCUCAUACAUGAAUUUGAUAAAAUUUUUAACUUAGUUGGAAAAAAAAAAAAAAACUCAAUUGCAAAAGUAAAGAAUUGCAUUACAACUAUUAUAUAAUUUAAAAGCGAAAAAUCAUAACAGAAUUGAAUUAUUAUAUUUUAUAAACUGUAGAUCUUUAAUUGUAAAAUUUUAAAGAGAAUGUUGAAUUAUUAUGUGAUUGAAAGGUUAAGAAUUAAUUAUAUAAUUAAUCUUAAAUUAUUACACUUAGUUAAAUUAGUAAUAAGGGUAAAAUUGGUAUUUAUAGAAUUUUAGAUGACUUUUUAACGGAAUGUUAGUCUUAAGGGUAUCUAUGAAUAUUUUUGCUUUUUAGAGGGAUAUUGUUGAUAUUUUCUAAUUUAGAGGGGCAUUUAUGAAAUUACUGUUUCCUAGAGGGGUAUUGAUGAAAUUAUCCCUAAGAUCAACAUGUGGGGCCCACAGUGUCAUUCUCUUAAUAUGUAAGUCAUUUUGGUCUAGUUCACACUUUUCACCUAAUCCUACUUUCGUAAUUUACUUAAUUUAGGCUAAUCCCCCACAUUUGGAUUUAUCUUUACUUUUUUUAAGAUUAAAAGAGAAAGUACAAAAAAAAAAAAGGAAAAAAAAAGAAACACAUUGAUUGGGCCACCGUAUGAAAAGCUGAAAGGCAGCUUCUUCGUUGGCCCCCACGCCUUCUAGAAAGAAAAAAAAAAAGAAGAGCAGGUUAACAAGUUAAAAAUUAAAAAAUUGAAAUAUAGUCAUUUGUUAUGGGAUUUAAAAAAAAUUACAUUACUAUUAUUAUUAUUUAUUAGUUAUUAUUUAAAAAAUUAAAUUAUAUUUCUUUAGUAUUUUAUUUACCUGUAUACCUGUAAUUGUUUGUACAAUUGUGAUAUACAAGUAUAUAUCUGUAGCAUUAAAUAUUUUUUUAUCCUAUAAGGUACUUAUUAUUUUGCUGUUCUUAUUUAAUUACUCUAUAGAGUACACAUUCUAGUAAAUUCUCAUGUUUUUAGGAAGAUUUUUUUUUUUUCUUUUAAUACUCCUCGACUGUUCUAUUUGUCAGUUUUUUAUAAUUAAUGUUGUUUCUAUACAUUACGAAUGUCUGAUGAAUUUACAAAAAAUACUAAUUUUACAUAAGUAGUUAUACCACCACAUCAACUAAUAUAGUAGAUAAUUAUAUAUAUAUAUAUAAUAAAUUAAUCUAUCAUCUAUUUAUAUUCGUGUUACCCUAAUAUUACUUUACUCAUUCUGUAUGAUCAGGAAAGAUAUUUUUUUAUAAUUGAAAUUAUGAAUAAGAAUUACAUUUUUAAUAUUUUUUAAGUUGAUAUUUUGUGUCAGAUUUGUUCUGUAUCAUUACAGCUCACCUUACAAAGUUACUGUAUCUCUUUUGGAAUCAAAAGGGACCACCUACUCAUGAAUUACGUACUAAAGGACAAGCACGAAGCACAAUAAAGUUUGAGCAAUUACAAUAAGAGCUUAUUCUGUUCACUUAUUUUAAAUUUUUAAAAUCAAAAUUAGGGUUACUAAUUCCAAUAGUUAUUAUUUAUUUUGUAAAAAUCAGAUUUUGAAAUGAAGAAUGAUCUAAUUUGCUUAUGUUCUAAUUCAACUUUGAAACUUGAAUUGCUUGCUGUUUUUUAGACAGAGCACAUAACUUAAAAUCCUCUUGCACAAACAUCUACCUCUCGAACAAAAUUUUUUUUUCAAAACUUUAUAUGUCUCGACUCACAACUAUCCAUUUUGAUUUUUCUUUCUAUAAUGAACUAAAUAAUUUUUGGAUGCUUUACCAUUUUUUUUCUCAUUGUUUUAAUUUAAUUUUUUAUUUCUAUUCUAAUUGUAAAUCAAACAUAUUCUAAAAGAGUUUGAAUACCACCCUUCAACUACUGCCUAUUUUGAAAUGUUUAGAGCGUCUUAACAAGUUCAUCUAUGUGCUCUGUCGCUAUUGCUCUUUUUAUUGUUGCUAAUUGUUUGAAUGAUUUUAUGAAGGUGAGUGAUAAUCAUCACUGAUUAGCUUGAGCCACAUAUAAUUACGUACUAAACAACGCUUUGUCAACCAAAAAAAAAGAAAAAGAAAAAGAAAAAGAAAAAUAUUACUAAGUCCAUCAAUUUAUUCGGCUGCUAUUCCAUUACACUAGAAAACGAGGAUGGCUAAAAGCGAUUCGUUGACCCGGUUCACACCGAUUCUUCGUUGCUGAGAUCGUCCACGAACCGCUUAAUGACCCGGACCAGCUCCCCGGCCGGUUCGGACCACGGCAUUCUCGAGAAGAAGGCGUGCUCUUGCCCCUCGAACUCCACGAGCUCCACGCGCUUCCCCAGCCCCCUCAUCUUCGUAGCGUACUCCACGUCCCGGUCCCUCAGGAUAUCCCGCUCGGCCGCCACCACGAGAACCGGGCCGGUCUCGACCGGGCCCAGGCCCGGGCUCUCCGGCCCGAACGGGUUGAAAAGUGGGUGGUCCCUCGUCGCGCCGCGCGGCAGCGCGAGCCUGGCGUACCGGUCGAAUAGCUCCAGGUUGAGGAACGCGUCGGCCGGGCACUCCAGUUCCGACCGGGUCCGGUCGGGCCCGCUGAAGCCGGGCAUUAUGAGAACGAACCCGCGGAUCCGGACCGGGUUCAGCCCGGCCGGCCCGAACCGGACGGCCAUGUGGUGGGCGAUGUUUCCCCCGGCGGACUCGCCGGAGACGAACACGCGGCUGAAGUCGGCGGAUUCGGCGAGCCAGGGGUCGGCUCCGGCGCCGGCUUCGGCUUCGGCUUGGGAUUUGAGCCAUAGGAGCGCGGUAGCGCCGUCGUCGAUGGCGGCGGGGAGGCGGUGCUCGGGGGCGAGGCGGUAGUCGGCGGAGACGACGAGUACGCCGAGCUCGGCGGCGAGGCGGAGGCAGCCGGCGUGGAAGUUGGGCCACGUCCGAGAGCCGAUGCAGAAGCCGCCGCCGUGGAAGUAGACGAGCACGGGAAGCUUUUCGUUAUCAUAAUCAGAUAGUUCAUGACUAGGUCGGGGACGGUAGAGGCGGAGGAAGAGGCUGUGGGUCGGGUCGAAGAGCACGUCCUUCCACUCGACGGAGCCGUCGUCGCGGUCAGAAUCUACAGGAAAGAUGGGGUCCGGAGAGCGCCGGAUGGUGCCGUCGCUCAGGAGCUGCACGACGCCGCGGCAGUCCUCGACAACGUGCGGAGGAGGAGAAGAGGAGGACGACGACAUGGCGGCGCGGUGGAGGAGAUGCUGGUGUGGAGCUGGAUGUGUUUUGGUUUUUGAGGAUACACAGAGUCUCUCGUUUAGGGUUUACUAAUCGUUUUUUUAUAUUGCAUGCUACUUGCGCCAGGGACAGCUGGUACAUUAUGGGCAUUUGAAUAAUCAUGUGGAAAGAUUAUUACAUA
Molecule: long non-coding RNA, 56929 nt
Filed under: Ananas comosus (pineapple)
Lineage: Eukaryota; Viridiplantae; Streptophyta; Magnoliopsida; Poales; Bromeliaceae
Description: long non-coding RNA (ACOM_LNC011495)
Rfam family: tRNA (bases 38363-38434)
Source: RNAcentral